This 63619-nucleotide long non-coding RNA is filed under the name Triticum aestivum (bread wheat). RNAcentral's name for it is "long non-coding RNA (TAES_LNC003456)". Lineage: Eukaryota; Viridiplantae; Streptophyta; Magnoliopsida; Poales; Poaceae. The record is from RNAcentral.
UUUUUUUCUUUUUUGUUCGGAGUCUCAUCCCGACUUGUGGAGGAAUCAUAGUCUCCAUCAUCCUUUCCUCACUGGGACAAUGCUCUAAUAAUGAAGAUCAUCACACUUUUAUUUACUUACAACUCAAGAAUUACAACUCGAUACUUAGAACAAAAUAUGACUCUAUAUGAAUGCCUCCGGCGGUCUACCAGGAUGUGCAAUGAAUCAAGAGUGACAUGUAUGAAAAAAUUAUGAUAGGUGGCUUUGCCACAAAUACGAUGUCAACUACAUGAUCAUGCAAACUAUAUGACAAUGAUGAUGUGUGUCAUAAUAAACGGAACGGUGGAAAGUUGCAUGGCAAUAUAUCUCCGAAUAGCUAUGGAAAUGCCAUAAUAUGUAGGUAUGGUGGCUGUUUUGAGGAAGGUAUAUAUGGUGGGUGUAUGGUACCGGCAAAAGUUGCGCGACACAAGAGAGGCUAGCAAUGAUGGAAGGGUGAGAGUGCGUAUAAUCCAUGGACUCAACAUUAGUCAUAAAGAACUCACAUACUUAUUGCAAAAAUCUAUUAGUUGUUGAAAUGAAGUACUACGGGCAUGCUCCUAGGGGGAUAGAUUGGUAGAAAAAGACCAUCGCUCGUCCCCAACCUCCACUCAUAAGGAACACAAUCCAAAAAUAAAUCAUGAUCCGACUUCAUCACAUAACGGUUCACCAUACGUGCAUAUGCUACGAGAAUCACAAACCUCAACACAAGUAUUUCUCAAAUACACAAUUAUGCACUAGCAUGACUCUAAUAUCACCAUCUUUAUAUCUCAAAACAAUCAUAAGGAAUCAAACUUCUCAUAGUAUUCAAUGCACUUUAUAUGAAAGUUUUUAUUAUGUCCCUCUUGGAUGCCUAUCAUAUUAGGACUAAAUUUAUAACCAAAGAAAAUUACCAUGCUGUUUAGAGACUCUCAAAAUAAUAUAAGUGAAGCAUGAGAGUUCAUCAAUUUUUAUAAAAUAAAACCACCACCAUGCUCUAAAAAGAUAUAAGUGAAGCACUAGAGCAAAAUUGUCUCGCUCAAAAGAUAUAAGUGAAGCACAUAGAGUAUUCUAAUAAAUCACGAUUCAUGCAUGUCCCUCUCAAAAUGUGUGUACAUCAAGGAUGAUUGUGGCAAACUAAAAAGCAAAGACUCAAAUCAUACAAGACGCUCCAAGCAAAACAUAUAUCAUGUGGUGAAUAAAAAUAUAGCAUCAAGUAAAGUUACCAAUAGACAAAGACAAAAGAGGGGUGUGACGCCCCCAAUUCAAUCGUACACUAAUCAUACACGCAUACAUGUACGGUCAAGAUCAGGGACUCACGGGAAGAUAUCACAACACAACUCUAAACACAAAUAAAAGAAUACAAGCUUUAUAUUACAAGCCAGGGGCCUCGAGGGCUCGAAUACAAAAGCUUGACACACAAGAGUCAGCGGAAGCAACAAUAUCAGAGUACAGACAUAAGUUAAACAGGGAUGCCUUAAGAAGCCUAGCACAAAAGCAACACGAUCGAAGAGGCAAGGCCUCCUGCCUGGGACCUCCUAACUACUCCUGGUCUUCGGCGGCCUCCAUGUAGUAGUAUCCAUCGGCGGUGGCAUCUGGCUCCAACGAUCCGCCAUCUGGUUGCAUCAACCGGAAAGAAGAAGGAAGGGGGAAAAGGGGGAGCAAAGCAACGGUGAGUACUCAUCCAAAGUACUCGCAAGCAUCAGACCUAUACUAAGUAUGCACUGGUAUCAAAUGGAAGGUUUGUAUCUAUGGACUGAACUGCAGAAUGCUAGAAUAGAGGGCGAGGGCCUAGCCUAUCAAAGACUAGCAUCUUCACGUAGCUCCGAGCAUCUUGCAGCAUGCAGAAGAGUAAAGAAUAGCAGUUUAUAAUUAACAAGCAUGUUGUAACAUUAAUGCCCAGAGAUCCUUCCUCGACUCCCUGCGAGAAAGCAAUCCCGGAGCCACAUAUCCAUCACAUAUCAAGUAUCCAUUUCUAGUUGUAUAAGAUCAGGAUACAAGUCUGAACGUCCAUUACCGAGGACAUGGUAUUCAAAUAAAGAUCUUCCCUGCAGGGGUGCACCACGUUACCCAACACGCUCGAUCACUCUGGCCGGACACACAUUUCUGGGGUCAAUGCCCGCCCUCGGAAGAUUAACACGUCACAGCCCUACCUAGGCUCAGCAGAGAGGUCCCCGCCGGUCUACAUCCUGAGCACUCCGGGGUCUGGGCCCAUCGCCCGUUGCACUCUGGGUCCUUGAGCGCAAGGGGAUACCAGCACCACCCGUGAAGUGGAUGGCACGAUCCAGCCCGGCCAAAAUGCUGAACUGGACGUCUGACAAAGCUUCGGCUGAUACUGCAACGUCGAGGCCCAUAACUAUUCUUGCAUGGUGGUUAGUGCGUAAAGGCUAGAGGCCAACUCAGAACAAAUACCCAAACCUGUUAGUGCAUUAUUAAAAGGAGUGACGGCUGUCGGGACAAGUCCGGAGCUAUCACCUCUCCUGGGUGAUUUCGCUAAACAGCCAGCCGCCACCGUCACACUGCAUGGGUGCUCUCCGGGCCCGCCCGACUUUCACAACGGUCUCCAGAAAAGUCAAGGUAACUGUGUGUCCAGAAAUCAAGGGGAAAACCCGAGGAAUCACCCCCGGUGGAUUCCACUCAAUGUAAUCAUCAAGGUGAACGUAAGAGGGACCACCCUCAAGGUUCACACUUGAGGUGUUGAACGACAGAGCCGUAUCGGGAAUGGUGAAAGAGGAAAUCACCCUCGAUGACCAUGAUCAAAUAGCUACACUACAGAAUUAUCAUCAGGAGUGCGUUAUGAGGGAUCACCCUCGGCACUCGAUAGUAGCUCUGCAGAGUCGAGCAACUAAAGGGGCGUGAUGUAAUGUGAGGUUGUAACGCCCACGAUGCGGCUAUAUCUCCCACGUGUCGAAGCACGACUUAGAGGCAUAACCGCAUGGUGGUUUUGUCGCAAGAAGGGUCAUCUUCACACAAUCCCAUGUAAUGAACAACAAUGGGUUAAAGAGAGUUGGCUUACAAUAUCCACUUCACACAAUACAUAAUUUAAGAUUCAUACAUCAUUCAAAAUACACUCAAAGACCGACUACGGUCAAAAAUCCAAAUGAAAAGAAGACAACCCCAAAUGCUAGAUCCCCGAUCGUCCCGACUGGGCUCCGCUACUGAUCAUCUGGAAACGAUACAUAGUAACGACCAAGGUCCUCAUCAAACUCCCACUUGAGCUCGGUUGCGCCACUUGCGCUGGUAUCCUUAGCACCUGCAUCUGUUUUGGUAGAAUCUGUGAGCCACGGGGACUCAUCAAUCUCACACCCGCGAGAUCAAGACUGUUUAAGCUCAUAGGUAGGAAAGGGGUAAUAUGGUGGAGCUGCAGCAAGCACUAAGCAUAUAUGGUGGCUAACAUACACAAGUGAGAGCGAGAAGAGAAGCAACGCAUCGGUCGAGAAGCUAGAAGCGAUCAAGAAGUGAUCCUGAAACUACUUACGGUCAUACAUAACUCAAACUGUGUUCACUUCCCGAACUCCGCCGAGAGGAGACCAUCACGGCUACACACACGGUUGAUGCAUUUUAAUGAAGUCAAGUGUCAAGUUAUCUACAACCAGACAUUAACAAAUUCCCAUCUGCCUCAUAACCGCGGGCACGGCUUUCGAAAGAUAAUAUACCCUGCAGGGGUGUCCCAACUUAGCCCAUCAUAAGCUCUCAUGGUCAACGAAGGAUAAACCUUCUCCCGGGAAGACCCGAUCAGUCUCGGAAUCCCGGUUCGCAAGACAUUUCGACAAUGGUAAAACAAAACCAGCAAAGCCGCCCGAUGUGACAAAUCCCGAUAGGAGCUGCACAUAUCUCGUUCUCAGGGCAACACCGGAUGAGACUAGCUACGAGUAAAACCAACCCUCAAGUUUCCCCGAGGUGGCUCCGCAGGCAGCUCAGUUCGGACCAACACUCGAAGGAGCACUGGCCCGGGGGGGGGGGGUUAAAAUAAACCCCCGGGCUUGCGAAAACCCCAGGGAAAAAGGCUUAGGUGGCAAAUGGUAAAACCAAGGUUGGGCCUUGCUAGAGGAGUUUUAUUCAAAGCGAACUGUCAAGGGGGUCCCAUAAAUCACCCAACCGCGUAAGGAACGCAAAAUCAAGGAACAUAACACCGGUAUGACGGAAACUAGGGCAGCAAGAGUGGAACAAGACACCAGGCAUAAGGCCGAGCCUUCCACCCUUUACCAAGUAUAUAAGGUGCAUUAAUUAAACAGGAGAUAUUGUGAUAUCCCAAAAAUAUCCAGGUUCCAACAAGGAACGAACUUCAUCUUCACCUGCAACUAGCAACGCUAUAAGAGGGGCUGAGCAAAAGCGGUGGCAUAGCCAAACAACGGUUUGCUAGGACAGGAUGGUUAGAGGCUUGACAUGGCAAUAUGGGAGGCAUGAUAAACAAUGGCAGGUAGAGCUAACAUAACGAUAGAGCGAGCAACUAGCAAAGCAAAGAUAGAAGUGAUAUCGAAGGUAUGGUCAUCUUGCCUGCAAAGUUCUCAAUGUUGUCGAAGGCUUGAUCCUCAUAAGCGUUCUCAACAGGUUCCUCGUGCACGAACUCGUCUCCCGGCUCUACCCAAAGCAAGAACACAAGCAAUGGAACCACAAUCAAACAUGGAGCAAUGCACAAGCAACAUGAUGCAAUACAUGACAUGAUAUGCGAGAUGUGAUAUGCAAUGCAUAUGCGGGCUCCGGAAGGGAAAAUGAUGAACAAGGCAUCAACUUGGCAAACCAAGUAUGCCGCUGGAAAGAUGAGAUGAUUUCGGUUGAAAUCGAUAUAAAGAUCACCGGAAUCGGAUGCACGGUUUGCAAAUGGCAAGCAAAACAAGAAUGACACAAAUAUGCGAUUAACAGCACGAUGCUACUUAGCAUGCAACAAGAAACUAUGCUACAGCACCCCAACAAAAAAACAAAGCAUAUGGAAGUGAUCUACAGGAGAUGCUUGACAAAAGAGGAAUAGUGAGCUACGGCUAAAUCACACCAUAGCAGGUUCAAACAAGCAUGGGAAAAGUGCAAAAGAUAUCAGGUUGGACAUGGCAUAAACAUCAUCGGGUAGCAAUGUUCAGAUCAAGUAAUCAACAUGCUACAGGAACUUAUAAUAGCAAAACAAGGCAUGAAAAGAUUCUACUCAAAUCAUAGAACAAAAGUACCUUACUGACCAUGAGCCAAAAAGGAUCAGAAGAUAUUAUGGCAUCCAUGUAAACAUAGCAAGUUUCGUUAACAGAUUCAGCAAACUGAGCAUGGCAUUGACAGAAUUAUGAAGGCAUCUUCGCGAGCUCGAUUCACUCACCACAAGUCAUUGCAUGACAAGAUAAGCAUAGCAUCAGCAAUAAGACAUGUUUAUGAAGCUAUCCAAGGCAAGAACAAGUUCAUAGCAUGCAAGGAUCAACUACAACAACCUUGGCAAAAUUGAAUAACAUGUAAACAAGCUGCCAGGAAAUAUUUUGUAGCAAAAGUAGAGCACAAAAAUGACAUGCUAGACUACUCCAUAAUUUCAAACAGGGGCAUGAAUGGAUAGAGCAUAACCAUAUGUUCAAAACAUCCUUACUGAACUAUCUCAAAAUAUGCAUGGAUCUCUCUGUAGCAUCAAGUUUACAUGGCAUAAAAAUAACAGCAGAACAGGGACUGAAAUCAGCAACAUCACGACGCCUAGUUUACAUGCUUGUGCUAGUCACCACAUUGAUCACAAAAAGACAUGGCAUACACUCCUGUAAAGCUGGCAUGGCAUAGUUCAAAACAUCUGUAGGGCUCAAGUUCAUAAGAUGCACACAUAAAUCAUGGCAAAAAUGACAAAAGUGCAUGUUCUGAUAAGAAUCUGAAACUAACAUCACAUAGCCCUCUUCCAACAGCAUUUCGGGCAUCAAUAUGAGCUCAAAUGAAAAUGAUGCAAUGAGAUAAAAUGAUGUACUCAUCGAGACGAACAAUUCGGUAUGCUACACGCCCAAAACGGAGCCACGGGUGCAAAGUUAUAACACGAUGAACAGGGCAUGAUAAUGUGCAGACUUAGUGGAAAUUCGAAGUCAACCUAGGGUGGAUCUGGAUCGGGCGCGCGAUUCGAGGCAGGCCGGUGCGAGCUCGCCAGAGUAGAGGUCGGGGCCGGCCUGGGCGCGGUCGGUCGGAGGCGGCGGCCGGGACGACGGCGACCGACAGGCGACGAGGCGGCGGCGUNNNNNNNNNNNNNNNNNNNNNNNNNNNNNNNNNNNNNNNNNNNNNNNNNNNNNNNNNNNNNNNNNNNNNNNNNNNNNNNNNNNNNNNNNNNNNNNNNNNNNNNNNNNNNNNNNNNNNNNNNNNNNNNNNNNNNNNNNNNNNNNNNNNNNNNNNNNNNNNNNNNNNNNNNNNNNNNNNNNNNNNNNNNNNNNNNNNNNNNNNNNNNNNNNNNNNNNNNNNNNNNNNNNNNNNNNNNNNNNNNNNNNNNNNNNNNNNNNNNNNNNNNNNNNNNNNNNNNNNNNNNNNNNNNNNNNNNNNNNNNNNNNNNNNNNNNNNNNNNNNNNNNNNNNNNNNNNNNNNNNNNNNNNNNNNNNNNNNNNNNNNNNNNNNNNNNNNNNNNNNNNNNNNNNNNNNNNNNNNNNNNNNNNNNNNNNNNNNNNNNNNNNNNNNNNNNNNNNNNNNNNNNNNNNNNNNNNNNNNNNNNNNNNNNNNNNNNNNNNNNNNNNNNNNNNNNNNNNNNNNNNNNNNNNNNNNNNNNNNNNNNNNNNNNNNNNNNNNNNNNNNNNNNNNGGGAGGCAGGGGCGGAUGCGUCCGGCGCCGAGCGGACGUGUCCGGCGCGCGGAGGAAGGGGAGACUAGGGUUUUGCCUGAAAAUUGGACGAGGAGGACAUAUUUAUAGGUAGGAGUUUGGAGAGUCCAAAUGAGGUGUAGUUUUCGCCCACACGAUCGUGAUCCGACGACGGAGAGCAAGGAAGUGACUUAGAUGGGUUAUUGGGCUGUUUUGAAAGGGUGUUGGGCUGCAACCCAAAAGAGGCCUUUGCGGUUAUGCAGUUAAUCGUUGGAGUAUCAAACGAGCUCCAAAUGACUCGAAACUUGACAACUGGUCUACCGGUGGUGUACCAAGGCCACUUGGCAAGCCUCGUCCCAUUCUGAGAAUGUUUUAACACCCGCACACGAAAAGAGACAAGAGGGGUGCGCCGGUGCACGUGGGAUUGUCGGAUUGCAAAACGGACAACGAGGAAAAUGCUCGGAUGCAUGAGAAGAACACGUAUGCAGAUGAGAUUCACAUGAUGGCCUUGCUGGAGGAGUUUUAUUCAAAGCGAACUGUCAAGGGGGUCCCAUAAAUCACCCAACCAAGUAAGGAACGCAAAAUCCGGGAACAUAACACCGGUAUGACGGAAACUAGGGCGGCAAGAGUGGAACAAAACACCAGGCAUAAGGCCGAGUCUUCCACCCUUUACCAAGUAUAUAGAUGCAUUAAUGAAAUAAGAGAUAUUGUGAUAUCCCAACAUAAUCCUGUCCAUCAUGGAGCAAUCUUCAACUUCACCUGCAACUAACAACGCUAUAAGAGGGGCUGAGCAAAGCGGUAACAUAGCCAAACAAAGGUUUGCUAGGAAGGGUGAAAAAGUUAGAGGCUUACAUGGCAAAUUGGGAGGUUUGAAGAACAAGUGAUAGGUAGCGCAGCAUAGCGAUAGAACGAAGCAACUAGCAUAGCAAUGAUAGUAAUGAGAUCCAAGGUAACGGUCAUCUUGCCUGAAAUCCCGCUAGGAGGAAGAACGAGUCCAUGAAGAAGACGAACGGGAGUAGUCAAAUGAAUCCUCACAGCUCCGGAAUGAAACCGAAGCUAACGAGAGAAGCAAACCGGAAAGAAGCAAACAAUAUGGUAAACACACAAGCAUAAUCAUGGCAUGAUGCACAAACAAGUAUGAUGCAUGUCCGGUUUAAUGAGGCAUGGCAUGACAAUAUGCACAAACAACACUACAAGUUAAGUGGAGCUCAAUAUGCAACAAGUUGUACAUUGACGAAACACCACAUUCGAGUUAUUUAGUUCGCUCUCGUUUAGGUACACAACAAUAUUAAAUGUUGGUUAACCUGGCAAGAGGUGAAGCAUAAUGAAACUACCUAUCUAGGCAAGUUUAAAUGAGGCCGGAAGUAACAAACAACAAUUCCGGAAAAUCCUCAUGUCCAUAUUUUAGAUUUGGUACUGUUCUGCCCUAAACCAUAUUUUAUAGUUGUUAAACAGGAAAAUAAAGUGGACCAUGUUAAACUAGGCAUUUUUCCACCCCAUUUACGUAUAAAGUUUAUUAAAAUUGGAGCUACGGUUAUUUAGUUAUGAAAUAAAUCAUUUUAACAUGGCAAUUGAGCAAAUUUAAACAAACAACAUUUUAAACAUAUUUAACAUGGAUGAAAGUGGCAUAUUAUGAAACUAGAUGAAAAACUAAGCAUUUUACAUGUUUAAAUCAUUUUAAUCCGAUGCACGGUUAUUUAGUUGUGAGUAGUUUAAAAUCAUGGCAUUUUCUGUAAUUAUGCAUGCACAGGGUAUUUAGCAAAAUCGUCCAAGAAAAAAAAACAUGACACGGGCCGCAUCUAAAUAGUGCACUGGGCGUCUGGGCUGCUCACCUAGCUGGGCUUGGCCCAGGUCGGUGGAGGUGGGAGCUGGGCCGCGGUCAAUAGGCGAAGGGAGGCGCUGACUGGGCACAGACGCGCGAGGCGGGGAGGCUACAGGCGUGGUUGGACCGAGAGAUGCAGACGCUCGUUCUUCUCACACUGAACAGGGGCGGUGUUGGUCGUUCAAAUGGCGAGGAAGACGACCGGCGGGAUCCCGCGGGGUGAGGAUGGGACUCCAGAGAUGAGAUCCUCGCGGAUCCGAGCAAGGGCGGCGAUGGGUCGAUGGAGGGAAGCUCCUCGAACCUGGGACAGAGAGGGAAAGAGAUCAGGGGAAAAGAGGGAGGAGUAUGGGGAGAAAGGAGAAGAAAAGGGAGCAGGGCGGCGAGGUCUGGCCUGGUCUUGGAGCUCGGAGAAACGCGCCAUGGUGCCGAACGAGAGGCUGCAAGCGCAAGGGGAGGUGUGGAGCACCAGAUCCGAAGCAGGGGAACAGGAGGAGGCCGGGUCCGUCGAUGGAGGCGCCAUUUGGCGAUGUGGCCGUCGGGGGAGAGCUUCAUAGGGCGCCAUGGUUGUUCCUUGGAGAGAGGGAGAGAACCGAGAGAAAGUAAGAGAGGCAAGGGAGGAAGAGGUAGUCGCGAGGGAGGUGGAGCACGGGCCUGGGCACUCAUGAGAGGAAGCGGAGCUCCGGACUGCUGCUGCUGCUUGGGUUGCUGGCAACCACCGGCAAGGCAGUGGCGCGGGGACAAGGAGGCACAGCCUCGUGCGUUUCCUCGGGCGCGCGGGCUUGGGAGAAGGAGCUCGAGCUCCAGGUUGCUGCUGGUCGAGGAGGGUCGUGGGGAUCUCUGGUUGGUGGGGAUCGAUAGAUGGGUGGAUCGACGGGACUGGGUGGCAAGGAAGAUCGAGGAAGGAGGAGGCUGCGGCUGGUUGGUCGGGUGAAGAAAACGAGGGAUGAUUUGGUAGAGAGUGGCGGUGGGCAGGAGGAUGGAUGGGACAAGGGGCCUAGAUUUUAGGGAUUGGUCUAGGGUUGGACUAUUUAUAUAGGUAGGGGAUUAAGGCAGGGUUAACGCGAUCCGUCCGAUCGAAAUCGGGUGGUCGAGAAAAAUAGGUUAGGUGGCCCAAAUAAGAAACCGGAGAUGUUUUAUAGAUGUUUGGGGAUGAUCCGGACUCAACGGUCAUGACUGUGCGGGUCGGGUUCGGGAAGCAUUCGGACGUGCGCGAGGUUGCGAAAGAGAGUCCAUGGCUGUGCCAAGAGAUAAGGUGGUCAAACAAGAGGGAAACGAGAACCCAGUUGGUCUCGAAACGGACAACGAAGACAAGGGGGACACGACAACUACGAACAGAUGCAAGUUUUAUGAAAACAUGCAGAUGCAAUGUGCAUGAUGCUAUGAGAUGAGAUGCAUGACACGAACAAAAUGCAAAACAAAACACAAAAACCCAACCAUGGAGGAAAUAUCAUAUCGCAUCUCCAGAAAAGGCAAGAGUUGGAGUUACGAAUAUGGAAAGUUGUAUCCGGGGCGUUACAACACUCCACCACUAUGAGAGGAUCUCGGCCCGAGAUCUAGGAUGGCACCGGAGAGAAACGGAAGAGGAAGAGAAGAGGUAAGGCUAAGUUGCUUCUUUGACGAAUGAGUGAAACCACGAACCUUGAGAGGUUUAGUAAUAUGAAAGAAAGAAAACAAGGAAGAUGAACAUAGUUGAAAACACUCCAUUAGAAAAGAGGAACAAGGGAUACGACGAGUACCAAGAGGUUUAGUGAUAAGAUAGAUAUUGAAACCACUCCGGUUAAAACUAGAUAGAGAAGGAAUAAGAUUGAUAUAAUUUGGGCAGCACUCCGACUGAAAGAAGAAGGAAAACUUGAUAAGAUGAAAAGAACUUGAAGAGAUGACACAACACUCCGGUUAAAUGGAUAAGCUUAAAAAGAACAUGAUCCUCACAAAACGAGGUGAUGGGUGAAGAGCACAACAUCACAAUGCCUUCGUAACGAAAGAAUAUAAGUUAGACCGUUGGGAUAAAGGGACGGAGGAGAAAAUGACAACUUUUGCCACAAGUGAACUCAGAAAGCAUCCUUGCAAAGAAGAAUCGAACGGAGUUGUUGGAAAAUCAACAACGAGAAGCACAAGCUUGUUGUGGGCUUAUGGGAAACAUCUCAAGACUAUGAGGUGACAACCGGCCACUAAUGGAAGCCAUUGAUUUGAUUGAGAGCACCAAAGAGAUGAAAAACUUCUUCACCGAGAGGAUAGGAGAAAACUCGGAUCAUUGAUAGCACCAUAAUUAGCAAUAUUCCUUAGGGAAGGCUUUAGGUGAAAUAUGACACAAGAUAACUCCAACAAUGAGGUUGAUGGUUGAAAAGAUCUCUUGAACAAAGAGAAAAUGAUGGAUUUAAAUAUGUCACUCUUGAAAACUUGUGAAUCAUGAAACGCGAAGGGAAAUUGUCAAGAAUGAUAUAACACCAUCUCAAAAGAUAAGGUAGGAAUUGCACUUUGGAAUGCAAGAUGAAGAAUACUUGAACUCCUCAAAACAAAACCUGUGUUGUGCACCAUGUUUAAUUUUUGAGUAUAGCUUGGCGGAUCAUCAACUCGAGAGAAGUCUUGAAGAACAAAUGAAGAAUGAAAGGAAUCCUUGACGAACCACCAUGUAGAGCCUCCAUGAAGAACUCCGGUAAUAAAAGGAUGAUAAAAAGAAAGAGAAGUUGAAAACACAAGGUGAAGCCUUGCAAUGAUUUAGAUGGAGCUUCACGACGAGAUAAUUGAGAGAGCUUGGAACUCCGAAAAGAAAGAUGAGGCCUCUCGAACCGAGAAUGUGAUAUGAUGACCAACUCUGGAAAGAAAGAUGAAUCCCUUGUAAUCAAGAAUUUAUUCAUCAUGACUAAUCUACGGAAAAAGAAUUGUGUCACCUCGAGGAAAUAAGAAUAAGAUUUAUUGUAUGCUUAUCCUUCAUCAAAUUAAAUUGAUGACAAGCAAUGGAUUUGGCAUACUACUUAUUCUCAUUGAAAAAUGAUUAUAGAUAGAGAUAUAGCGCAAACUUCAGAAGGUAUUGAUGGAACCACCGGUGGGAUUGGAAACAACGAAUGAAAUGAUACGGUAGAAAAGGAAGAGGAAUCUUGGACGAACCACCGUAAGAAUUGAAAAUGAAAGUAGCAAAGGCACAAAUCACCGGGAAGAAUGGGAAAAUGAAUGAAGAUACUUGAGGCGAUUUAGAUACCUGAGAACGAAGAGAACAAGAACUGAUUAGAGGAUAUUUGAAUGAUGCACCGGUAGAAUAUGGAGAAGGAGAGCUAAAAGCUAAGAAUGAAAAACAAAGAGGUUGAGCCAACAAUGAAAAUGAUUCGAAAUUGAUCUUGGAAAACAUCUGACUGAUGAAAUUCAUUCUUACGUCAAAUUUUGAAAAGAAUUUGGGAAUGGCUCCGGGAAAAUUAAAAGAGUCAGGUAAGAUCCUGGGAAAAGACCUGUGGGUUAGGGCCCACUCAAAAGAAAACACCAUGUCUUUCAACCUUCAAGUUAUCGCAAUGUUCCUCGUUCCUCUUUUCUAACGGAUUGUUUGCAAUCUCGUUCAUCUCUGUUGUACUCUUUCUUUUAAAUUGCUCAACCUCUCAAGGUUCGUGGUUUCACUCGUUCGUCAAAGAAGCAACUUAGUUUUACCUCUUCUCUUCCUCUUUCGUUUCGCUCUGGUGCCAUGCUAGAUCUUGGGACGAGAUCCUCUCGUAGUGGCGGAGUGUUGUAACGCCCCGGAUACAAAUUUCCAUAUUCGUAACUCCAACUCUUGCCUUUUCCGGAGAUGUGAUAUGAUAUUUCCUUCGUGGUUGAGUUUUUGUCUUUUGUUUUGCAUUUUGUUCAUGGCAUGCAUCUCAUCUCAUCGCAUCAUUUGUAUUGCAUCAACACUUGUUGCCAUCAUCAUUUUUUUAACUUGCAUCCGCUCGUAGUUGCCGCGUCCCCCCUUGCUUUUGUUGACCGCCCCGAGACCAACCGUGUUUUCGUUUCCUUUUUGUCCGACCACCUAACCUCUCUUGCCAGCUCGCAGCCCCCCUCACGCGCGUGUCUGAAACUCCCCCGAACCCGACCCGGACAGUCAUCGCCGAUGGGUCCGGAUCAACCCCAAACAUCCCUAAAAUAUCUUCGUUCAUUUGUUUGGACUCUCGAAGCAUUUUAUUCUCGACCGUCUGAUUUUUAUCGAAUGAUCCAAACUCUCCUCCUUUCCAUAUAUAUAGUCCACCCCUAGUCUAUUUUGCAAACCCUAGAACCUAGGGAUCCUGUCCCAUCCUCCAUUCUCUGUCCGCCGCCGCCACUCUCUCCAAAAUCCCCCUCGGGAUCCAUCCCUCCCCAACCAUCGCUCGCCACCUACAACCUCCAGAUCCCCUCGCCCUCCUCCCUCUUCGAGCCCGAGGUCAUGCCUCCUUUGCUCGAUCCCCACCAGCGCAAGCCACUUCUUCCCUCGAUCCCGAACGGAUCGUGUAGCUGCUCGAGGCCCGAGCAGGAGCACUCAGCCUCAUCCCCUCGCGCCACCACCAUCGACAACCGUACCUCGCCGGAGCUCGUCCGCGAGCAGGACCGCCGUCACCCUCUCCUUCCUUUUCCCUCUGUUUACCCUCUUCUCCUCCUCAUAUCGCCUUCUCUUGUUCUUCAGGACAAACAGGAGCCUCGCCAUGGCCACCGGAUGGAGUUCCACCGCCAUGGGCGCCUCUGCUGCCUGACCUCGCCUCUGCCUUGACUUCGCCGUGCUCCUCCCCUGCCCCGAGCCCCGACCGCAACCAGCACCCGACCCGCAGGUCGCCAGCGCGCCCGUGGCCCUAGCCUUCUCUCUUCUUCCCCUUCCCAUUCUGCUUCUCUGAAUCUCUCUCUCUCUCUCUCUGUGUUUCUUCAGGAAACUGCAGCAGCCUCCGAGUUCGAGCAGCUGCCUCCUACCCGGAUCGAAGACAUCCCGCGCUUGGAUACGGACGCCACCGAGCUCCCGUGCCAACCUCUCCUCACCCUGCUGCUUGCCGGAGUCCCACCGGCGCCCGCCUCGCUCGGUUGUGCCCUCUACUUCUAGCGACAGGACGAGCAUCGCUCGCGUUGACCGCGCCAAGUCCCACGACCGCACGCGCCUGGGCUGGCCUCGCCUUGGCCCAGCUAACUCUGCCUGCCCCAAGCCUCUCCACCGACCUGGGCCAUGGCCCAUGGUGAGAACCCCAGCCCCUCCAGAUUCGGCCCGAUAGUGGAUUUUUUCUCGUUCUGCGAAUUUAGCUAAUUUCCAGAGACUGCAGUUUUGCAGAAAAACCCCCAAGCAUCAUGCAUUUAAUAACUCUUGAAACAUGCAUCGGAUUAAAAUGAUUUAAACAUGUAAAAUGCUUAGAAUUUUGUGUAGAUUAACAAUUUGCUGCUUUCAUCCAUGUUUAAAAUAUUUAAAAUUGCUGUUUGCAUUAAUUUGCAUAAAUGCCAUGCUAAAACAUUUUAUUUCAUAACUAAUUAACCGUAACUCGGUUUUUAAUAAACUUUAUAUGUAAAUGCGAUGGAAAAAUGCAUAGAUUAAUAUGGUCCCCUUUGUUUUACUGUUUAACAACAUUAAAAUAUGUUUUAGGGCAGCAUAGUACCAAAACUAAAAUAUGGACAUGAGGAUUUUCCGGAAUUGUUAUAUGUUGUUCGCGGCCUCAUUUAAACUUGCUUUGAUAUGUCGCUCUUGUUUGCAUCAUCUCUUGCCAUGAGUAGCUUCAUGUAGCUUUGUCAUGCAUCAUGCUUGUUGUGCAUCAUGUCUUAUAUAUGUGUGGUGUGUUUACUAUGUUGUGUGCUUCUUCUCGAUAGUUCCCGUUUCAUCGCGAUCGUGAGGAUUCGUUCGUCUACGCUUGGUUCGUCUUCGUGGCUUCAUAUUCUUCAUGGACUCGUUCUUCUUCCUAGCGGGAUUUCAGGCAAGAUGACCGCUACCCUGGAUCUCACUACUAUCAUUGCUAUGCUAGUUGCUUCGUUCUAUCGCUUUGCUGCGUUACAUAUCAUUUGCUCUUCAAGCCUCCCAAAUUGCCAUGAACCUCUAAUCGUUGACACCCUUCCUAGCAAACCGUUGCUUGGCUAUGUUACCGCUUUGCUCAGCCCCUCUUAUAGCGUUGUUAGUUGCAGGUGAAGUUGAAGAUUGCCCCAUGGUGGACAGGAUUAUGUUGGGAUAUCACAAUAUCUCUUAUUUUAAUUAAUGCAUCUAUAUACUUGGCAAAGGGUGGAAGACUCGGCCUUAUGCCUGGUGUUUUGUUCCACUCUUGCCCCCUAGUUUCCGUCAUAUCGGUGUUAUGUUCCCGGAUUUUGCGUUCCUUACGCGGUUGGGUGAUUUAUGGGACCCCCUUGACAGUUCGCUUUGAAUAAAACUCCUCCAGCAAGGCCCAACCUUGGUUUUACCAUUUGCCUCACCACCACCUACUUUUCCCUUGGGAGUCGCUCUCUCUAGGGUCAUCUUUAUUUUAGCCCCCCCCCGGGCCAGUGCUUGUCUAAGUGUUGGUCCGAACUGAGCUGCCUGCGGGGCCACCUCGGGGCAACUUGAGGGUUGGUUUUACUCGUAGCUAGUCUCAUCCGGUGUUGCCCUGAGAACGAGAUAUGCGCAGCUCCUAUCGGGAUUGUCGGCGCAUCGGGCGGCUUUGUUGGUCUUGUUUUACCAUUGUCGGAAUGUCUUGUAAACCGGGAUUCCGAGACUGAUCGGGUCUUCCUGGGAGAAGGUAUAUCCUUCGUUGAUCGCAGGAGCUUAUCAUGGGCUAAGUUGGGACACCCCUGCAGGGUAUUAUCUUUCGAAAGCCAUGCCCGCGGUUAUGUGGCAGAUGGGAAUUUGUUAAUGUCCAGUUAUAGAUAACUUGACACCAGAUCCGAAUUAAAACGCAUCAACCGCGUGUGUAGCCGUGAUGGUCUCUUUUUGGCGGAGUCCGGGAAGUGAACACGGUUUCUGUGUUAUGAUUGAUGUAAGUAGGAGUUCAGGAUCACUUCUUGAUCAUUGCUAGCUUCACGACCGUUCCGCUUGCUCUCUUCUCGCUCUUAUUUUGCGUAUGUUAGCCACCAUAUAUGCUUAGUCGCUGCUACAACCUCACCACUUUACCCCUUCCUUUCCCAUUAAGCUCUGAUAGUCUUGAUACCCAUGGUAAUGGGAUUGCUGAGUCCUCGUGGCUCACAGAUUACUACAACAAUAGUUGCAGGUACAGGUUAUGUGAUGAUCAUGACGCGAGAGCGAUGUUUACUUGUUUGGAGUUCUUCUUCUGCUUCUUCUUCGAUCAGGGGAUAGGUUCCAGGUCGGCAGCCUGGGCUAGCAGGGUGGAUGUCGCUUGAGUUUCUGUUUGUGUUUCAUCCGUAGUCAGAUGGUGCUUUUAUGUAUGAUGAUGUUGUAUUCGUGUGGCAUUGUAUGCCUCUUGUAUGUAUCCCCAUCUAUUAUGUAAUGUUGAUGUAAUGAUAUCCACCUUGCAAAAGUGUAUCAAUAUGCGGUUCUAUCCCUGUUGGGACCUUUGAGUCUCUUUAGGAUAGUAUCGCAUAUUGGGCGUGACAAGUUGGUAUCAGAGCCAGGUCUUGUCACGCCCAAUAUGCGACCAUAUCCAAAAGGAACUUGAAGGUCCCACCAAGGAUAGACCCGCAUAUUGAAACGCUUUUGCAAGGUGGAUAUCAUUACAUCAACAUUACAUAAGAAGAUGUGGAUACAUACAAAAGGCAUACAAUGCCACAAGAAUACAACAUCAUCAUACAUAAGAGCACCAUCCGACUACGGAUGAAACAUAAACAGAAACUCAAACGACAUCCACCCUGCUAUCCCAGGCUGCCGACCUGGAACCUAUCCCCUGAUCGAAGAAGGCGCAGAAGAAGAACUCCAAAACAAGCAAACAUCGCUCUCGCGUCAAGAUCAUUGCAACCUGUACCUGCAACUGUUGUUGUAGUAAUCUGUGAUCCACGAGGACUCAGCAAUCCCAUUACCAUGGGUAUCAAGACUAGCAAAGCUUAAAUGGUUAAGGAAGGGGUAAAGUGGUGAGGUUGCAGCAGCGACUAAGCAUAUAUGGCGGCUAACAUACGCAAAAGAGAGCGAGAAGAGAAGAAAAGGAACGGUCGUGAAGCUAGCAAUGAUCAAGAGGUGAUCCUGAACUCCUAUUUACGUCAAACAUAACCCAAGAAACUGUGUUCACUUCCCGGACUCCGCCGAGAAGAGACCAUCACGGCUACACACGCGGUUGAUGCGUUUUAAUUCGGAUCUGGUGUCAAGUUAUCUACAACCGGACAUUAACAAAUUCCCAUCUGCCACAUAACCACGGGCACGACUUUCGAAAGAUAAUACCCUGCAGGGGUGUCCCAACUUAGCCCAUGAUAAGCUCUCGUGAUCAACAAAGGAUAUACCUUCUCGCAGGAAGACCCGAUCAGACUCGGAAUCCUGGUUUACAAGACAUUUCGACAAUGGUAAAACAAGACCAGCAAAGCCGCCCUAUGCGCCGACAAUCCCGAUAGGAGCUGCACAUAUCUCGUUCUCAGGGCAACACCGGAUGAGACUAGCUACGAGUAAAACCAACCCUCAAGUUGCCCCAAGGUGGCCUCGCAGGCAGCUCAGUUCGGACCAACACUUAGACAAGCACUGGCCCGGGGGUGGGGGGGCUAAAAUAAAGAUGACCCUCGAGAGAGCGACUCCCAAGGGAAAAGUAGGUGGUGGUGAGGCAAAUGGUAAAACCAAGGUUGGGCCUUGCUGGAGGAGUUUUAUUCAAAGCGAACUGUCAAGGGGGUCCCAUAAAUCACCCAACCGCGUAAGGAACGCAAAAUCCGGGAACAUAACACCGAUAUGACGGAAACUAGGGGGCAAGAGUGGAACAAAACACCAGGCAUAAGGCCGAGUCUUCCACCCUUUGCCAAGUAUAUAGAUGCAUUAAUUAAAAUAAGAGAUAUUGUGAUAUCCCAACAUAAUCCUGUCCACCAUGGGGCAAUCUUCAACUUCACCUGCAACUAACAACGCUAUAAGAGGGGCUGAGCAAAGCGGUAACAUAGCCAAACAACGGUUUGCUAGGAAGGGUGAAAAGGUUAGAGGCUGACAUGGCAAUUUGGGAGGCUUGAAGAGCAAAAGAUAGGUAGCGCAGCAUAGCGAUAGAACGAAGCAACUAGCAUAGCAAUGAUAGUAAUGAGAUCCAGGGUGACGGUCAUCUUGCCUGAAAUCCCGCAAGGAAGAAGAACGAGUCCAUGAAGAAGAUGAAGCCACGAAGAUGAACCAAGCGUAGACGAACGAAUCCUCACGAUCGCAACGAAACGGGAAACUAUCAAGAAGAAGCACACAACAUGGUAAACACACCACAGAUAAACAAGACAUGAUGCACAACCAAGCAUGAUGCAAGACAAGACUACACGAAGCUACUCAUGGCAAGAGAUGAUGCAUCCAAGAGCAACACAUCAAGGCAAGUUUAAAUGAGGCCGGAAACAACAUAUAACAAUUCCGGUAAGUCCUCAUAUGUAAAUUUUGAAGUUGGUCCAGAUCUGAAUAAACAUUAAGUUGAAGUUGUUAAACAGCAAGUUAAAAAGCACCAAGAGGAUCUACACAAAAUUCUAGUCAAGUUACGUAUAAAGUUCAUCAGAUUUGGAUCUACGGCCUAGAAGAUAUGAGCAAAACAAGUUAAACAUGGCAUUGAUGCAAAAUGCAUACGAACAUCAAGCAAACACCUCAAAAUAUGAUGCAACAUGAUAAUAUGAAACUACAUGCAAAAUCAAGCAAGUUUCAUAUAAAGCACACUCAAAACGGAGCAACGGUGCAACACAUACACUCUAUACAAGGCAUAACAACAAUCUGUCCAUAACAGCAAGUAGGCAUAUUGCAAGCAUCAAAACAACAUGCUACAGUACCACAAUAUAAAAACAAAAGGCAUGGUCAUGAUGUACAGGUAAAGCAUAACAAAACAUGAACACUGAGCUAUCUCCAGAAAUCACUAGAACAUGCUCAAAAUGACAUGGCAAGAUUGCAAAAUACCAACUUGUAACGCCAACGAUGCGGCUAUAUCUCCCACGUGUCGAAGCCCGACUUAGAGGCAUAACCGCAUGGUGGUUUUGUCGCAAGAAGGGUCAUCUUCACACAAUCCCAUGUAAUGAACAAGAAUGGGAUAAAGAGAGUUGGCUUACAAUCGCCACUUCACAUAAUACAUAAUUUAAGAUUCAUACAUCAUUCAAAAUACACUCAAAGACCGACUACGGUCAAAAAUCCAAAUGAAAAUAAGACAACCCCAAAUGCUAGAUCCCCGAUCGUCCCGACUGGGCUCCGCUACUGAUCAUCUGGAAACGAUACAUAGUAACGACCAAGGUCCUCAUCAAACUCCCACUUGAGCUCGGUUGCGCCACUUGCGCUGGUAUCCUCGGCACCUGCAUCUGUUUUGGUAGAAUCUGCGAGCCACGGGGACUCAGAAAUCUCACACCCGCGAGAUCAAGACUAUUUAAGCUCAUAGGUAGGAAAGGGGUAACAUGAUGGAGCUGCAGCAAGCACUAAGCAUAUAUGGUGGCUAACAUACGCAAGUGAGAGCGAGAAGAGAAGCAAUGCAUCGGUCGAGAAGCUAGAAGCGAUCAAGAAGUGAUCCUGACACUACUUACGGUCAUACAUAACUCAAACCGUGUUCACUUCCCGGACUCCACCGAGAAGAGACCAUCACGGCUACACACACGGUUGAUGCAUUUUAAUGAAGUCAAGUGUCAAGUUAUCUACAACCGGACAUUAACAAAUUCCCAUCUGCCUCAUAACCGCGGGCACGACUUUCGAAAGAUAAUAUACCCUGCAGGGGUGUCCCAACUUAGCCCAUCAUAAGCCCUCACGGUCAACGAAGGAUAAACCUUCUCCCGGGAAGACCCGAUCAGUCUCGGAAUCCCGGUUCGCAAGACAUUUCGACAAUGGUAAAACAAAACCAGCAAAGCCGCUCGAUGUGCCGACAAAUCCCGAUAGGAGCUGCACAUAUCUCGUUCUCAGGGCAACACCGGAUGAGACUAGCUACGAGUAAAACCAACCCUCAAGUUUCCCCGAGGUGGCCCCGCAGGCAGCUCAGUUUGGACCAACACUCGAAGGAGCACUGGCCCGGGGGGGAGGGUUAAAAUAAAGAUGACCCUCGGGCUCGCAAAAACCCCAGGGAAAAAGGCUUAGGUGGAAAAUGGUAAAACCAAGGUUGGGCCUUGUUGGAGGAGUUUUAUUCAAAGCGAACUGUCAAGGGGGGCCCAUAAAUCACCCAACCGCAUAAGGAACGCAAAAUCAAGGAACAUAACACCGGUAUGACAGAAACUAGGACGGCAAGAGUGGAACAAGACACCAGGCAUAAGGCCGAGCCUUCCACCCUUUACCAAGUAUAUAAGGUGCAUUAAUUAAACAGGAGAUAUUGUGAUAUCCCAAAAAUAUCCAUGUUCCAACAAGGAACAAACUUCAUCUUCACCUGCAACUAGCAACGCUAUAAGAGGGGCUGAGCAAAAGCGGUGACAUAGCCAAACAACAGUUUGCUAGGACAGGAUGGUUAGAGGCUUUACAUGGCAAUAUGGGAGGCAUGAUAAACAAUGGCAGGUAGAGCUAACAUAACGAUAGAGCGAGCAACUAGCAAAGCAAAGAUAAAAGUGAUAUCGAAGGUAUGGUCAUCUUGCCUGCAAAGUUCUCAGAGUUGUCGAAGGCUUGAUCCUCGUAAGCGUUCUCAACAGGUUCCUCGUGCACGAAAUCGUCUCCCGGCUCUACCCAAAGCAAGAACACAAGCAAUAGAACCACAAUCAAACAUGGAGCAAUGCACAAGCAACAUGAUGCAAUACAUGACAUGAUAUGCGAGACAUGAUAUGCAAUGCAUAUGCGGGCUCCGGAAGGGAAAAUGAUGAACAAGGCAUCAACUUGGCAAACCAAGUAUGCCGCUGGAAAGAUGAGAUGAUUUUGGUUGAAAUCGAUAUAAAGAUCACCGGAAUCGGAUGCACGGUUUGCAAAUGGCAAGCAAAACAAGAAUGACACAAAUCUGCGAUUAACAGCACGAUGCUACUUAGCAUGCAACAAGAAACUAUGCUACAACACCCCAACAUAAAAACAAAGCAUAUGGAAGUGAUCUAAAGGAGAUGCUUGACAAAAGAGGAACACUGAGAUAUGGCUAAAUCACACCAUAGCAGGUUCAAACAAGCAUGGGAAAAGUGCAAAAGAUAUCAGGUUGGACAUGGCAUAAACAGCAUGAGGUAGCAAUGUUCAGAUCAAGUAAUCAACAUGCUACAUGAACUUAUAAUAGCAAAAGAAGGCAUGAAAAUAUUCUACUCAAAGCAUAGAACAAAAGUCCCUUACUGACCAUGAGCCAAAAAGGAUCAGAAGAAAUGAUGGCAUCCAUGUAAACAUAGCAAGUUUCGUUAACAGAUUCAGCAAACUGAGCAUGGCCUUGACAGAAUUAUGAAGGCAUCUUUGCGAGCUCGAUUCACUCACCACAAGUCAUUGCAUAACAAGAUAAGCAUAGCAUCAGCAAGAAGGCAUGUUUAUGAAGCUAUCCAAGGCAAGAACAAGUUCAUAGCAUGCAAGGAUCAACUACAACAACCUUGGCAAAAUUGAAUAACAUGUAAACAAUCAGCGAGGAAACAUUUUGUAGCAAAAGUAGAGCACGAAAAUGACAUGCUAGACUACUCCAUAAUUUCAAACAGGGGCAUGAAUGGAUAGAGCAUAACCAUAUGUUCAAAAAUCCUUACUGAAGUAUCUCAAAAUAUGCAUGGAUCUCUCUGUAGCAUCAAGUUUACAUGGCAUAAAAAUAACAGCAGAACAGGGACUGAAAUCAGCAACAUCACGAGGCCUAGUUUACAUGCUUGUGCUAGUCACCACAUUAAUCACAAAAAUACAUGGCAUACACCCCUAUAAAGCUGGAAUGCCAUAGUUCAAAACAUAUGUAGGGCUCAAGUUCGUAAGAUGCACACAUCAAUCAUGGCAAAAAUGACAAAAGUGCAUGUUCUGAUAAGAAUCUGAAACUAACAUCACAUAGCCCUCUUCCAACAGCAUUUCGGGCAUCAAGAUGAGCUCAAAUGAAAAUUAUGCAAUGAGAUAAAACGAUGUACUCAUCGAGACGAACAAUUCGGUAUGCUACACGCCCGAAACGGAGCCACGGGUGCAAAGUUAUAACACGAUGAACAGGGCAUGAUAAUGUGCAGACUUCGUAGAAAUUCGAAGUCAACCUAGGGUGGAUCUGGAUCGGGCGCGCGAUUCGAGGCAGGCCGGUGCGAGCUCGCCGGAGUAGAGGUUGGGGCCGGCCUGGGCGCGGUCGGUCGGAGGCGGCGGCCAGGACGGCGGCGACCGACNNNNNNNNNNNNNNNNNNNNNNNNNNNNNNNNNNNNNNNNNNNNNNNNNNNNNNNNNNNNNNNNNNNNNNNNNNNNNNNNNNNNNNNNNNNNNNNNNNNNNNNNNNNNNNNNNNNNNNNNNNNNNNNNNNNNNNNNNNNNNNNNNNNNNNNNNNNNNNNNNNNNNNNNNNNNNNNNNNNNNNNNNNNNNNNNNNNNNNNNNNNNNNNNNNNNNNNNNNNNNNNNNNNNNNNNNNNNNNNNNNNNNNNNNNNNNNNNNNNNNNNNNNNNNNNNNNNNNNNNNNNNNNNNNNNGGCGGCGCGCGGGCCUCGGUGGCUAGCGACGGGCCAAGCGGGCCGGCGUCGCGGGGGCGGCGGACACGCCACGUGGCGGCGGCCGGUUGGCUCGAGAGGCAGGGGCGGAUGCGUCCGGCGCCGGGCGGACGUGUCCGACGCUCGGAGGAAGGGGAGACUAGGGUUUUGCCCGAAAAUUGGACGGGGAGGACAUAUUUAUAGGUAGGAGGAGUUUGGAGAGUCCAAAUGAGGUGUAGUUUUCGCCCACACGAUCGUGAUCCGACGACGGAGAGCAAGGAAGUGACUUAGAUGGGUUAUUGGGCUGUUUUGAAAGGGUGUUGGGCUGCAACCCAAAAGAGGCCUUUGCGGUUAUGCGGUUAACCGUUGGAGUAUCAAACGAGCUCCAAAUGACUCGAAACUUGACAGGUGGUCUACCGGUGGUGUACCAAGGCCACUUGACAAGCCUCGUCCCAUUCCGAGAACGUUUUAACACCCUCACAUGAAAAGAGACAAGAGGGGUGCGCCGGUGCACGUGGGAGUGUCGGAUUGCAAAACGGACAACGGGGAAAAUGCUCGGAUGCAUGAGAUGAACACGUAUGCAAAUGAGAUGCACAUGAUGACAUGAUAUGAGAUGCAUGACAUGAACAAAAUGCAAAACAAAAGACAAAACCCAACCACGGAGGGAAUAUCAUAGCACAUAGCCGAAAAUGGCAAGAGUUGGAGUUACAAAGAAGGAAAAUUACAUCCGGGGUGUUACAGAGGUGUCGGGCUCUGGUCAUCGAUCACGUUGAUCGAGGCAUCAAUGAUGAAGCAGGGGCAACAAGGACAAGGUGGGGGUCACUGAUUGAUCACUAACCAGCCUAUGCUAAGCAGUUUAGGAUAAGUAGGUAGGUAACUAUAGUAGGUACAAAAGCAGGCUAUGCAUCAGAAUAGGAGCAAACAAUAACAGUAGCAAAAUCUAAUGCAAGCAUGAGAGUAUAGAAUGGGCGAUAUCAGGAUGAUCAAAGGGGGGCUUGCCUGGUUGCUCAGACAAGAAGGAGGGUCGUCGUCGACGUAGUCGAUCACAGGGACAUCAGCAUCGGUCUCGGGGUCUACAGGAGAGAAGAGGGGGAAGAAAAAGUAAAUACAUAGCAGGCAAGUGCAUAACAGGACAACAACAGAGCUAGACGUGUACUAACACAGCGCUAGGCGAUACUGGCGAAGGGGGGAACAUCCGAGAAAGUAUUCUGGUUCCAGACGUCUGUCAGACAAAUGAACCGGAGGGGAAAAGUUGCAUGUUUGCUAUGCUAGGGAUGUGUGGUGGGCGAACAGACCGCGUAUUCGGAUUUGUCUCGUCGUUCUGAGCAACUUUCAUGUAGAAAACAAUUUCAUCCGAGUUACGGAUUAUUUUAUAUGCUUUUUCAAAGAUUUAAACAAUUUCUGGGAUUAUUCUUAAUUCGAAAAUAAAAUGGUUAAUUACACCCAAAAGUGUACCCAGCCGGAGUGCUCCUAUGGCUGACAGUGGGCCAGGGAGGUUCCAGUCAGCAGAGUUGACCCAGUCAACAUUUGAUCGGUCAAAAGGUCAAUAGGGUUUGGGUCCCACUUGUCAUUGGCUCAUCUAGCUAACUGGAGUUUUAAAAUAACUAUUCUACUUCAUUAGGUUAACUAAGAUUAAUUAAUUAAGUUAAUUAAAUAUCUAACUAAUUAUUUAUUUAUUUAUUUGUUAAUAUUAUUUUUUAAACCAUUUUUUUACAAAAAAGGGGGGCGUGGGCCCCACUGGGCAGUGGCCCAUAGAGCCAAUCUGGUGACAAGCGAACGGGUACAGGGGCGUGGAAGUGGGCGCCCGUACCCGAGGGGGGGGCGAACCCGAGCGAGGCAGGACGCUGGCGCCAGGUGCCGCCCAGGGCGUGGUCGCCGGCGACGAGGGGAGCCGCCGGAUGGACCAGUGGAGGAGGGAUGCGGCGGCGGUAGUGCGGCAGGGGAGAGCGGGGGUGAGCGCGGGCGCCGGCUCCAAGCGGGCCAGCCGGGGCCUUGGUGAGCAUCGACGAAGCACUUGGGCGAAGNNNNNNNNNNNNNNNNNNNNNNNNNNNNNNNNNNNNNNNNNNNNNNNNNNNNNNNNNNNNNNNNNNNNNNNNNNNNNNNNNNNNNNNNNNNNNNNNNNNNNNNNNNNNNNNNNNNNNNNNNNNNNNNNNNNNNNNNNNNNNNNNNNNNNNNNNNNNNNNNNNNNNNNNNNNNNNNNNNNNNNNNNNNNNNNNNNNNNNNNNNNNNNNNNNNNNNNNNNNNNNNNNNNNNNNNNNNNNNNNNNNNNNNNNNNNNNNNNNNNNNNNNNNNNNNNNNNNNNNNNNNNNNNNNNNNNNNNNNNNNNNNNNNNNNNNNNNNNNNNNNNNNNNNNNNNNNNNNNNNNNNNNNNNNNNNNNNNNNNNNNNNNNNNNNNNNNNNNNNNNNNNNNCGAAGCAAAGAGCACGAUGGGGGGCUGUAAGGGGCGAGGGGGAAAGAGGAGGCCGGGGGGGCCUCACCAGUGUUGGAGAGCAGGGGGCGUCGAGGCGUGGGGGCGUCCGAUGGGGAGGAGGAUGGGGACGGCCCGCGCAGGGGAGGAGGCGACGGCGUAGGGGACGGCGGGGAGGCAGUCCGGCGAGGUGGCGAUCCGGGCGGCGGCGAUGGGGCGGCGAGGCGUCCAGCAAGUCGGGGUUCCGUGGAGGAAGGCAAGGCGACGAGGGAGACGGCGUCGAGUGGCGCCAGGCGGCGUCCAGAUCGAGCGGGUGGAGCGCGGCGUAGUCAGGGUCGGUGUUGGGGCGCCGCGGGCGUCCAGCACAGAUCGGGAACAGAGGGAGGAGCGAGGGGAGUGUGGAGAGUGGGGGUUAGUGCUAGGGUUUCGGGGUGGGUGGCCUAAUAGGCCAGCGAAAGCGGGAGUGGGCCGGUUGGGCCGGCCAGCUGGGUUGGGCCGAUUGGCGGAGGCCCCGGUGGGCAGGGGGGCUUGCGGCCCUUUCUUCCUUUUAUUUUUUUGAUUUCUCUUUUUCUUUUAUUUACUUUUGUCCUUUGAUUUAAUUUUGGAAAUUGAAACCGAAAGUGAUUGAAUCAACGCAAGGUUAACAAGAGUAAAUGCGAUGACAGGGCAUCAUUAGCAUAGGAUUACUGUAGCAUAAUUAUCCGGGCAUCACAAUUCUCCCCCACUACAAGAAAUCUCGUCCCGAGAUUUAGUAGGUAGAAGGAAACAAGGCAGGGUAUUCUUCACGAAGACAAUCCUCGCGUUCCCAAGUGGCUUCGUCUAAGAGUGAUGCGACCACUGGACCUUGAGGAACUUGAUCGCCUUUUGACGUGUGUGGCGGUCAGCUUGGUCAAGUAUGCAGAGCGGAUGCUCUUUAUAGGAGAGGUCCUGUUGCAACUCGAGCACUUCAUGAUCCACUGCUCGAAUUGAGUCCUUGAAGUAGCGGCGGAGUUGUGACACGUGGAACACAUCGUGAACCUGAGAAAGGUUCGACGGAAGAUCCAACUGGUAUGCCACUUUUCCACGCCUUUCAAGAAUAGUGAAUGGAGCAAUAUAGCGAGGAGCUAGCUUGCCCUUGAUCCCAAAGCGGUGAGCACCCUUCAUUGGUGUGACUCGAAGAUAAGCCUUUUCACCAGGUUGAUAGACCAUGUCCUUAUGAUGACGGUCAUACUGACUCUUUUGACGUGACUGAGCAGGCUUGAGAUUCUCACGAAUGACGCGGACUUGUUCUUCGGCGUGUUGGAUAAUAUCCGGACUGAAGAGUGGAUGUUCUCGAGUUUCUAGCCAGUUCAGAGGGGUUCGGCACUUUCGUCCAUAUAACACUUCGAAGGGAGCCAUCUUCAGACUAGCUUGAUAGCUAUUGUUGUAAGAGAACUCAGCAUACGGGAGAGAUUUCUCCCAUUUCUUGCCGAAGGAAAUAACACAAGCUCGAAGCAUGUCUUCGAGAACUUGGUUGACGCGUUCAACUUGUCCCUGAGACUAAGGGUGAAAGGCGGUGCUGAAUGACAGAUGAGUUCCCAUAGCUUCUUGGAAACUUGCCCAGAAUCUUGAAGUGAAUAAGCUGCCACGGUCUGAGCAGAUUACCAGCAGAAUACCGUGAAGUGAAACAAUUCUAGACAUAUAGAGUGUUGCCAGCUGACUAGCAGUGAUCGUUUCUUUGACGGCCAGAAAUUGUGCAACCUUGGAAAGCCGGUCAAUGACAACAAGAAUAGCAUCAUUACCUUUCUGUGAUUUGGGAAAACCAGUGAUGAAGUCCAUUUCAACAUGGUCCCAUUUCCAUUCAGGAAUAGAGAUAGGUUGUAGAGUUCCAGCAGGCCUUUGAUGUUCUGCUUUGAUACGACGAAAAACGUCACACUAAGCAACAUAACGAGCAAUGUCUUGCUUCAUAUUAGACCACCAGAAUCUCUGACGAAUGUCUUGGUACAUCUUGGUGCUACCGGGAUGAAUAGACAAAGGUGUAUCAUGAGCUUCUUUCAUAACCCAUGGAGUUAGAUUCAGGUUUUCACUCGCACAUGGCACCACUAGGCGGCCCUUGAAGUACAAGGUGCCAUCAUCGGCAAUAGUGAAGAAUGAGGGCUUUCCUUCUGAGAGAUAGCGUUUAAUCUUCUCGACUUUAGAGUCAUAAUGUUGAAUAGUCUUGAUAUUGCCCACGAGAUCUGGCAUGACAGCGAGGGUAUUUAGAGAACCCUGAGGAACAACACGAAGAUUCAUCUUUUGAAACUCUGGGGGAGGGGGUGCAAGUGCACCAGGAGGAACAAUAUGGAGGUUCAGCUUUCUAAAUUCUUCAACAAGCGAGGGGUGAACUUUUCGAACCUCGAGGUGAUUGCAAUAUGACUUGCGGCUCAGAUCAUCAGCCAUUACAUUAGCCUUGCCUGGUGUAUAGGAAAUACCUAAGUCAAAAUCUGCUACCAUCUCCAUCCAUCUCUGCUGACGGAGGUUCAGGUCUGGCUGGUUAAACAAAUACUUCAGACUUUGGUGGUCGGUGAAGAUCUCACAGCGAUUACCGAGAAGGUAAUGUCGCCACUGUUUCAGUGCAUGUACGACAGCAACAAGCUCGAGGUCAUGAACUGGGUAGUUCUCUUCGUGAGGGCGCAACUGGCGAGAUGCAUAGGCAAUCACUAUGCACUCUUGUAUUAGGACACAGCCUAAUCCUUGACGUGAAGCGUCACAGUAAAUGAGGAAGUCGUUCUUAGUAUCAGGUGGAGCAAGCACUGGGGCAGAAGUCAGCUUGUCUUUGAGUGCCUGGAAACUUUCCUGACACUUUUCUGUCCAAUCAAACUUGACGCCCUUGUGAAGCAGACCAGUCAGGGGCUUGGCAAUCUUGGAGAAGUUCUCGACAAAUCGACAGCAAUAGCUGGCGAGUCCGAGAAAACUUCUGACUUGCUUGACAUUCUUCGGAGGAGUCCAAUCGAGAAUAGCCUAAACUCGCUCGGGGUUGAUAGCAAUACCAUCCUUGGAGAUGACAUGCCCAAGGUAGGUCACUUCAGGAAGCCAAAAUUCACAUUUAGAAUACUUUGCAUAGAGUUGAUGUUCUCGAAGCUUUUCCAGAACAAGUCGAAAGUGUUCAGCAUGUUCUUCUUUUUUCUUGGAAUAUACAAGGAUAUCAUCCAGAUAAACCACGACGAACUUGUCGAGGUAUUCCAUGAAUAUAUAGUUCAUCAGAUGAGAGAAUGUCGCUGGAGCAUUGGUCAAGCCGAAAGGCAUGACGGUGUACUCGUAUGAACCAUAGCGAGUCACAAAAGCAGUCUUGGGAAUAUCCUCUUCACGAACCCGAAUCUGGUGGUAACCCAACCUCAAAUCAAGUUUAGAGAAUACUGAGGAACCAGCAAGUUGAUCAUACAGAUCGUUGAUUCUGGGAAGCGGAUACUUGUUCUGAAUUGUUGCCUGGUUGAUAGGUCGGUAAUCUUGGACCAAACGAUUAGUUCCAUCCUUCUUCCUGACAAAGAGAGAAGGUGCUCCCCAAGCAGAUGAACUUGGAUGAAUGAAUCCCUUGUGAAGAGAUUUGUCGAUUUCCUCCUUAAGUUCAAGGAGUUCAUGUGGCGGCAUCUUGUAGGGUCGCUUGGCAAUAGGAGUUGUGCCCGGUUUCAAGUCUAUGACGAAUUCAAUAGCUCUAGCAGGGGGUAUUCCUGGAAGUUCUUCUGGGAAGACAUCUUUGAAAUCACAAACAACUGGAAUGUUCUCUAUUCCCUCAAGAGGUGAAGCAUUCAAUGCAUUCAGAACAUAUAUCUGGUUCUCGGCAUCCUGAGCUACUCGAGCUGAGUAAUGGACUAUCUGGCCAGAAGGGUGGGUGAGCUGGACUGUCCUGGUAGCACAAUCGAUCUUAGCACUAUGGGCUUUCAGCCAAUCCAUACAGAGAAUGACAUUUAUGGUAGAACCCUUGAGGGCCAUGAGUGAAGCAGAGAACACUAAUCCUCCAAUUACAAUGUGGUUGUUGUGGGCUACCAUCGAGGUAUCCCACCUGGAUCCUGGAGAGUUAAUCACCAGCGGAGGGUACACAUUUUCAAAUGAUAAGUCUUGUUCGCGGGCAAAUGCCUCAGAUAUGAAGGAAUGUGGCGCUCCUGAAUCAAAAAGAACGAAUGCUGGCACUGAGUUGACGAGGAAGGUUCCCAUCACGACAGUCGGUUCCUUCUGAGCCUUAUCAACAUCGAUGUGGUUGGCCUGGCCAAGUAUAACAGCAGACAGUUGGGUAUUGUUGUUUCUGGAUCGAUAGCUUCGACGACUCUUCUUACAACCCACAGCAGAACGCGAUGCAAUUUUAGGCUGAUCCUGGCGACAAUUGAGAGUAGGGUGCCCUGGCUGUCCACACUUGCGGCAUAAACCAUCAUUAUUGGGAGGAGCUACAACAUUGUACUGUCCACCCUGAGCCGUUAGCAGUCUCGGCGGCGGAGGCAGACGAGGUGCAACAUAAGACGGCCUUGGUGUUGGAGCAGGUCGGUGAUGAACAUUGUGUGGGACCCAGACUUGACGUUUCUGAGCGGGCUGACUCGACGAUGGGCCAACAUCGCGAGUACGCUUGAGCGACUCUUGGCACUCAAUAAGACCAGUUUCAGUUUGGAAAGCUUGGUUGACAAGCGUCGCAAAGUCUGCACAAUCAUGAGCAACAAGUGCGAGCUUUAUAUCAGGAUGCAGUCCUUCACAAAAUUUCUCCUGCUUGCGAGCAUCAGUGUAGACGUCAUCCGCAGCAUAGUGAGAUAAUUCAAGGAAUUUCCUCUGAUAUUCAUCCACAGUCAUUGAGCCUUGUGAGAGUUUGCGGAACUCCUUCUUCUUCUGGUCCAUCAGACCUUGAGGAAUAUGUCGUGCACGGAAGGCUAACUGAAAUUCCUGCCAAGUGGUUACAGUCUCUGCAGGCAGCAUACCGCUAUGGCUUUCCCACCAUUGAGCAGUUGAACCCUUCAGGUGAAAUGUCGCAAAGGUGACAUAACUGGCAGGGGCAACAUUAGCCGACUCCAUCUCAAACAGGAUGUCAUGAAGCCAAUCAUCAGCAUCCAUAGGAUUAGUGGAGUUGCGGAAAAUGGACGGGUUGAGGCGCACGAAUUCUUGUAGUGUUAUUGGGGCAGGCUGUUGAUGAGCAUUCUGGUUUGGAAGCUGAGCCAUUACUCCAGUCAUAAACUGACGAUUCAGCUCAAACUGCUGCAUCAUUGAGGCAAUAUAGGGUGGAGGUGGAGGAUCGUCAGCCAUCCUACUAAAACAUCAGGAAGACAUUUAACAGGGGUGGAGCAGGUGUAUAGAGUCAUUCAUGAUGUAACUUGAACAAUGAGCAAAGGCGCAGUAUGUACAAAUUAGUAGUCAUUAAAGACUUACAUAUACAUAUACAGAGCCAAUUACACGUUGUUAGUAGGAGUUCGGACAAGAGAAUCAUCCUAGACAUACUAGGCGGCACACAUGCACACGAUGGAAGGAUACAACAACGAGACAUAGCAAAGGCUACAUCAUCGUCGGAGAAAACCAGUAGAGCGAGGAAUCUGCAGGGGACGACGCAGGGUGCCCUCGAUAUGAAGGAUUUCUGCGGCCCGUGGACAAAGUGAAGCAGAUCCUGGCUCCCAAUUCAAGAAAGGCAUGAUACAAUUCUCCGAGUGGAGAUGAUCACGAGAAUCUAGGGUAGAGUUAGUAAAACCAUUUAACCCGAAUAGAAGAGAGAUCAGAGUCCCAGGGUAUAGAAGAGGAGUAAAAGAUCCUAAUACCACCCAAUGGCGACGUGGGCCCGUAAGCCACACAGCCAUGUUAGUAAAUUAGUUUUUUUUUCAAAGACUAGACUCAACUUCGGCCAAGGAGUUGGAAAGGGGGAUCCUACAGGCAGUCGGCUCUGAUACCAACUUGUGACGCCCCCGAUUCAAUCGUACACUAAUCAUACACGCAAACGUGUACGAUCAAGAUCAAGGACUCACGGGAAGAUAUCACAACACAACUCUAAACACAAAUAAAAGAAUACAAGCUUUAUAUUACAAGCCAGGGGCCUCGAGGGCUCGAAUACAAAAGCUCGAUACACAAGAGUCAGCAGAAGCAACAAUAUCAGAGUACAGACAUAAGUUAAACAGGGAUGCCUUAAGAAGGCUAGCACAAAAGCAACAUGAUGGAAGAGGCAAGGCCUCCUGCCUGGGACCUCCUAACUACUCCUGGUCUUCGGUGGCCUCCAUGUAGUAGUAUCCGUCGGCGGUGGCAUCUGGUUCCAAGGAUCCACCAUCUGGUUGCAUCAACCGGAAAGAAGAAGGAAGGGGGAAAAAGGGGGAGCAAAGCAACAGUGAGUACUCAUCCAAAGUACUCGCAAGCAUAAGAUCUAUACUAAGUAUGCACUGGUAUCAAAUGGAAGGUUUGUAUCUGUGGACUGAAUUGCAGAAUGCCAGAAUAGAGGGGGAGGGCCUAGCCUAUCAAAGACUAGCAUCUUCACGCAGCUCCGAGCAUCUUGCAGGAUGUAGAAGAGUAAAGAAUACAAGUUUAUAAUUAACAAGCAUGUUGUAACAUUAAUGCCCAGAGAUCCUUCCUCGACUCCCUGUGAGAAAGCAAUCCCGUAGCCACAUAUCCAUCACAUAUCAAGUAUCCAUUUCUAGUUGUAUAAGAUCAGGAUACAAGUCUGAACGUCCAUUAUCGAGGACACGAUAUUUGAAUAAAGAUCUUCCCUGCAGGGGUGCACCAUGUUACCCAACACGCUCGAUCACUCUGGCCGGACACACCUUUCUGGGGUCAAUGCCCGCCCUGGAAAGAUCAACACGUCGCAGCCCUACCUAGGCUCAACAGAGAGGUCCCCGCCGGUCUACAUCCUAAGCACUCCGGGGUCUGGGCCCAUCGCCCGUUGCACUCCAGGUCGUUGUGCGCAAGGGGAUACCAGCACCACCCGUGAAGUGGAUGGCACGAUCCGGCCCGGCCACAAUGCUGAACUGGACAUCUUACAGAGCUUCGGCUGAUACUGCGACGUCGAGGCCCAUAACUAUUCUCGCAUGGUGGUUAGUGCAUAAAGGCCAGAGGCCAACUCAGAACAAAUACCCAAACCUGUUAGUGCAUUAUUAAAAGGAGUGACGGCUGUCGGGACAAGUCCGGAGCUAUCACCCCUCCUGGGUGAUACCGCUAAACAGCCAGCCGCCACCGUCACAUCGCACGGGUGCUCUCCGGGCCCGCCCGGCUUUCACAUUGGUCUCUAGUAAAGUCAAGGUAACUGUGUGUCCAGACAUCAUGGGGAAAACCCGAGGAAUCACCCCCCGUAGAUUCCACUCAAUGUAAUCAUCAAGGUGAACGUAAGAGGGACCACCCUCGAGGUUCACACUUGAGGUGUUGAACGACAGUGCUGUAUCGGGAAUGGUGAAAGAGGAAAUCACCCUCGAUGACCACGACCGAAUAGCUACACUACAGAAUUAUCAUCAGGAGUGCGUUAUGAGGGAUCACCCUCGGCACUCGAUAGUAGCUCUGCAGAGUCGAGCAACUAAAGGGGCGUGAUGUGAUGUGAGGUGUCGGGCUCUGGUCGUCGAUCACGUUGAUCGAGGCAUCGAUGAUGAAGCAGGGGCAACAAGGAUAAGGUGGGGGGUCACUGAUGGAUCACUAACCAACCUAUGCUAAGCAGUUUAGGAUAAGCAGGUAGGUAACAAUAGCAGGUACAAAAGCAUGCUAUGCAUCAGAAUAGGAGCAAAUAAUAACAGUAGAAAAAUCUAAUGCAAGCAUGAGAGUAUAGAAUAGGCGAUAUCGGGAUGAUGAAAGGGGGGCUUGCCUGGUUGCUCAGACAAGAAGGAGGGUCGUCGUCGACAUAGUCGAUCACAGGGACAUCAGCAUCGGUCUCAGGGUCUAUCGGAGAGAAGAGGGGGAAGAAACAGUAAAUACAUAGCAGGCAAGUGCAUAACAGGACAACAGACAGAGCUAGACGUGUUCUAACGCAGCGCUAGGCGAUAAUGGCGAAGGGGGAAACAUCCGAGAAAGUAUUCAGGUUCCGGACGUCUGUCAGACAGAUGAAUCGGAGGGGAAAAGUUGCAUGUUUGCUAUGCUAGGGAUGUGUGGCGGGCGAACAGAUCCUGUAUUCGGAUUCGUCUCGUCGUUCUGAGCAACUUUCAUGUAGAAAACAAUUUCAUCCGAGUUACGGAUUAUUUUAUAUGAUUUUUCAAAGAUAUAAACAAUUUCUGGGAUUAUUCUUAAUUCAAAAAUAAAAUGGUUAAUUGCUAGAUACACCCAAAAGUGUACCCAGCCGGAGUGCUCCUAUGGCUGACAGCAGGCCAGGGAGGUUCCAGUCAGCAGAGUUGACCCACUCAACAUUUGACCGGUCAAAAGGUCAAUAGGGUUUGGGUCCCACUUGUCAUUGGCUCAUCUAGCUAACUGCAGUUUUAAAAUAACUAUUCUACUUCAUUAGGUUAACUAAGAUUAAUUAAUUAAGUUAAUUAAAUAUCUAACUAAUUAUUUAUUUAUUUAUUUGUUAAUAUUAAUUUUUUAACCUUUUUUACAGAAAAGGGGGGCGUGGGCCCCACUGGGCAGUGGCCCAUAGAGCCAAUCAGGCGACGGGCGAACGGGCCCAGAGGCGUGGAAGUGGGCGCCCGUACCCGAGGGGGGGGCGAACCCGAGCGAGGCAGGACGCUGGCGCCAGGCGCCGCCCGGGGCAUGGUCGCCGGCGACGAGGGGAGCCGUCGGAUGGACCAGUGGAGGAGGGAUGCGGCGGCGGUAGUGCAGCAGGGGAGAGCGGGGGUGAGCGCGGGCGCCGGCUCCAAGCGCGGCCAGCCGGGGCCUCGGUGAGCAUCGACGAAGCACUGGGGCGAAGCAAAGAGCACGACGGGCGGCUGUAAGGGGCGAGGAGGAAAGAGGAGGCCGGGGGGGCCUCACCAGCGUUGGAGAGCAGGGGGGGUGUCGAGGCGUGGGGGCGUCCGAUGGGGAGGAGGAUGGGGACGACCCGCGCAGGAGAGGAGGCAAUGGCGUAGGGGACGGCGGGGAGGCAGUCCGGCGAGGUGGCGAUCCGGGCGGCGGCGACGGGGCGGCGAGGCGUCCAGCAAGGCGGGGCUCCGUGGGGGAAGGAGAGGCGACGACGGAGACGGCGUCGAGUGGCGCCAGGCGGCGUCCAGAUCGAGCGGGAGGAGCGCAGCGUAGUCGGGGUCGGCGUUGGGGCGCCGUAGGCGUCCAGCCCAGAUCGAGAACAGAGGGAGGAGCGAGGGGAGUGGGGAGAGUGGGGGUUAGCGCUAGGGUUUCGGGGUGGGUGGCCUAGUAGGCCAGCGAAAGCGGGAGUGGGCCGGUUGGGCCGGCCAGCUGGGUUGGGCCGGUUGGCCGAGGCCCCGGUGGGCAGGGGGGCUUGCGGCCCUUUCUUCCUUUUAUUUUUUUGAUUUCUCUUUUUCUUUUAUUUACUUUUGCCGUUUGAUUUAAUUUUGAAAAUUGAAACCAAAAGUGAUUGAAUCAACGCAAGGUUAACAACAGUAAAUGCGAUGACAGGGCAUCAUUAGCAUAGGAUUACUGUAGCAUAAUUAUCCAGGCGUCACAAGGGGAUGCCUUCCGGGGCAUCCCCAUGCUUAGGCUCUUGGUUGUCCUUGAAUAUUACCUUAGGGGUGCCUUGGGCAUCCUCAAGCUUAGACUCUUGCCACUCCUCAUUUUAUAGUCCAUCAAAUCUUUACCCAAAACUUGAAAACUUCACAACACAAACUCAACAGAAAAUCUCAUAAGCUUCGUUAGUAUAACAAAAUAAAUCACCACUUUAUGGUACUGUUGUGAACUCAUUGUUUACUUAUAUUGGUAUAAUAUCUACUGUAUUCCAACUUUUUCAUUGUUUGUACCCCCGAUACUACCCAUAGAUUCAUCAAAAUAAGCAAACAACACACGGAAAACAGAGUCCGUCAAAAACAAAACAGCCUAUAGCAAUCUGUAACUCUCGAAUACUUCUGUAACUCCAAAAAUUCUGAAACAUUAUUACAACCUAGGAAAUUUGUGUAUCAAUCCAGAGCAAAAAGAAUCAGAUCAAAAUCACGAUUCAAUAAAAUCCAGGAAAUUAUUUACUCGGCGCAAAAGUUUCUGUUUUUUAGCAGGAUCAAAACAACUAUCACCGUAAGCUAUCCCAAAGGUCUUACUUGGCACAAACACUAAUUAAAACACAAAACCACAUCUAAACAGAGGCUAGAUUAAUUAUUCAGAGCAAAACAGGAACAAAAAUCAAAGAACAAAAAUAAAAUUGGGUUGCCUCCCAACAAGUGCUAUUGUUUAACGCCCUUAGCUAGGCAUAAAACACGAAUAGAUCUAGGUAUAAUCAUAGUAAUGAUAAUGCAAAUCUCGAAACUCAUACUCCCUUCGUCCAGCAGAAAGUUUUCUUUGUCGUAAGCAAAAGUAAUCAAAAGGGCUAAAUUUACUGGGAUAAGAAUCCCCAAGAUCAAGCUUAGGAGGAAUUGGUUCCUCCUUUGGCCCUUCAUAUUGUAUAACCAACUCAUCAUUGUAAGCGUUCUUUUGGCAAAAAGUCAUGAGCUUGUGACCAAGAGAGAAACCGAAUCAAUUGUUUUGAAUAGCAAAAUUAUCAUUAAAGCUCAGAAACCUUAUCAACUAAAACAUCGGUAGGGACCCUCUUUCUUAAAUUUUCAUUAUAAGCAACAUGAUCUAGAGAUCAUAAACGCAUUAUGUCCUCUUGGUUAAAGAGAAUUCCUUCUAUGGGAGGACGACCACCAUCUACUUUAUAAUGCGCGAAAAUUUCACUAGCUUCUUUCAUAAUAAAUCUAAACUGAUGUGCUAGAAAUAUAGUGGCGGCAUGCUUAACAGAAGAAUGCUCAAUAUUAGAAAACUCUAGAAAAAUCCUUUGUAUGGAUGGAUGCAUAUGAACAAAUUUUCUUUCAAGUCCAACCACGAGCAAAGAUAUAGCAUCCGCAAGACUACUAGUUCUAUGGAGAAUAGAUCCACCUAAUGUGGGUAACGCACCGACACAAGUAAAGAAAUCCUGAACAACCCCUUUUCCAAUAAUAUUGCCGCUACCAAUGCGAAGUUUUUUAGUGUGUAAAAUAGUAGAUUCUUCAUGAGGAUUAGUAUUAGCAAAAGCAUCAAAGUUUCCCCCAUCGUUAUUACUAUUCUUUUCAGUAAUAACCCCCCCCCCCCAAUUUCAGACAUGAUGGCAACAAACCAAUCCAGCAAACAAGCAAAAAAGCAAGGGAAGAAGACNNNNNNNNNNNNNNNNNNNNNNNNNNNNNNNNNNNNNNNNNNNNNNNNNNNNNNNNNNNNNNNNNNNNNNNNNNNNNNNNNNNNNNNNNNNNNNNNNNNNNNNNNNNNNNNNNNNNNNNNNNNNNNNNNNNNNNNNNNNNNNNNNNNNNNNNNNNNNNNNNNNNNNNNNNNNNNAGACGAACAAAAGAGGGGCGAAGAAAAGGCAAAUCUUUUCGAAAAUCAUUUAGAAGUGGGGGAGAGGAAAACGAGAGGCGAAUGGUGAAUAAUGUCAUGCAAGAGAUGAGAGUUUAUGACGGGUACUUGGUAUGUCUUGACUUGGCGUAGAUCUCCCCGGCAACGGCGCCAUAAAUUCUUCCUGUUACUUCUUGAGCCUGUGUUGGUUUUUUCCUUGAAGAGGAAAGGGUGAUGCAUCAAAGUAGAGAUAAGUAUUUCCCUCAGUUUGAGAACCAAGGUAUCAAUCCAGUAGGAGACAACGCACAAAUCACCAGAUACCUGUACAAACAAUCAAACAAGCUUGCACCCAAUGGGAUAAAGGGGUUGUCAAUCCCUUCACGGUUACUUGCAAAAGUGAGAUUUGAUAGAGAUAGAUAAACGAUAAAGUAACUAUUUUAGAUAUUUUUGGUUUAUAGAUCGGAAAGUAAAAGAUUGCAAGAAUAGUAGAUUGAAAACUAAAACUGUAGAUCGAAAACUUGUAUGAUGGAAAAUAGACCCGGGGGCCAUAGGUUUCACGAGUGGCUUGAACAAAUUACUGCCGAGCAAUUGAUAGAAAAGCGCAAAGUUAUGAUGAUAUCUAACGCAAUGAUCAUGAAUAUAGGCAUCACGUCUGUGUCAAGUAGACUGACUCCUGCCUGCAUCUAUUGCUAUUACUGCACACAUCGACCGCUAUCCAGCAUGCAUCUAGAGUAUUAAGUUCAUAAAGAACAGAGUAACACAUUAAGUAAGAUGACAUGAUGUGGAGGAAUUAACUCAAGCAAUAUGAUGAAAACCCCAUCUUUUUAUCCUCGAUGGCAACAAUACAAUACGUGCCUUGGUGCCCCUACUGUUACUAGGAAAGGACACCACAAGAUUGAACCCAAAGCUAAGCACUUCUCCCAUUGCAAGAAAAAUCAAUCUAGUUGGCCAAACCAAACCGAUAGUUCGAAGAGAAUUACAAACAUAUCAAAUUAUGCAUAAAAGAAUUCAGAGAAGAUUCAAAUAAUAUUCAUAGAUAAGCUGAUCAUAAAUCCACAAUUAAACGGAUCUCGGCAAACACAUCGCAAAAAAGCAUUACAUCGAAUAGAUCUCCGAGAACAUCGAGGAGAACAUGGUAUUGAGAAUUAAAAAGAGAGAAGAAGUCGUCUAGCUACUAGCUAUGGACCCGUAGGUAUGUGGUACAUACUCGUGCUUCAUCGGAAGGGCAAUGGUGUUGAUGUAGAAGCCCUCCAUGCUCGAAUCUCCCUCCAGCAGGACAUCGGAAAAGGCCCCUAGAUUGGAUCUCAUGGGUACAGAAGGUUGCGGUGGCGGAAAAGUGUUUCCGUGGAUGCCUCUGUUGCGGUGGCGGGGGUGGCGGGGGUGGGGGGUGGGGGGAGCCCUGCUGGUGACAUGCCAGCACAUUUCUAUCAUGAUUAUUCACAUCUGCGUCGUCUUAAUGGCGGUUCAUAUUAUUAACAUUCAAAUUCUGGCAAUGUAAGAAAUAACAAUGUCAAGAUAGACAUUGAAUAGGGUUUCACGGACACCAGACACAAACCACACCAACACAUGAUGCAAGACUCUAGAUAAUGUUAUCUGUCAUAGACGACACCAAGGUGUUCAGUUCACUCUCUGCGCAAUUCGCUAGAGCCUAAGACAAGCUUUCAUUUAUCCAACAUGUUGGAGGAUCAAUCAUGGAGGCAGGCCACAUAUCAGGUCAUCUUUUUGGAACAAGAACACUUCCCGUGUUCCCAUCGUCAACGUGUCCUUCCGGAACACUUUGAUUUUUAGAUGCGCCUUUGGGCGAUUCUGGAAAAUCAAUAUGGCCCCUCACUGAACUUCUGAGUCCAUUUGCCAUCUCAUGAUCCCUGCAAAGAUUUUGCACUUACCACAAAUUCUGAAAGUAGAACAGACAGAGGACACAGAUGACUAUAUAUGAUGACAAAAGGACGAGGGCAAAAGCUACCUACAAUAAAACACAGUCCGGCCCACAAUCUCCCAUCUCCUCUAUAUCUUACCUAUAAUACCACCAGAGAUUUUCCUACAAUACAAAAACAAAGGGUCAACAAAAGAAAAUACAUCAAAGCAGACAAUAUCACCAGGAGCUCUUUGAUACAGAUGUGGAUGUCGCAAUAUCAUCACUAUUAUGCUUGGUUUUGGAAGAGUGUAUCCAACAGGAUGCACCUGACUAUGACCAAUUGUGCUUGCACAACAUCAGGGAAUGAUUUUUGAGACAUGCAUAGCGGUUGGAGAUGCAUAUAACUGCAUGCCUUUCUACUUUGGGCUCGGGCUUGAACCUCUGAUCGUGUGAGGCGAUGCAUGACUCUAUGGGAUGGUUUCAUCGUGUAUGUUACAUAGAAAAAUAGGUUGUACUAUAUACAUGUUGGGGACCGUAGUAAUUUCAAAAAAAUUCCUACGUACACACAAGAUCAUGGUGAUGCAUAGCAACGAGAGGGGAGAGUGUUGUCCAUGUACCCUCGUAGACCGAAAGCGGAAGCGUUAGCACAACGCGGUUGAUGUAGUCGUACGUCUUCACGAUCCGACCGAUCCAAGUACUGAACAUACGACACGUCCGAGUUCAGCACACGUUCAGCUCGAUCACGUCCCAUGAACUUCGAUCCAGCAGAGCUUUGCGGGAGAGUUCCGUCAGCACGACGGCAUGAUGACGGUGUUGAUGAUGCUACUGACGCAGGGCUUCUCCUAAGCACCGCUACGAUAUUACCGAGGUGGAAUAUCAUGGAGGGGGGCACCACACACGGCUAAGAGAUCAAUGAUCAAUUGUUGUGUCUAGAGGUGCCCCCCUGCCCCCGUAUAUAAAGAAGCAAGGGGGGAGGCCGGCCAGCCUUGGGGCGCACCAAGGAGGGGAGGAGUCUUCCUCCUAGUAGGAGUAGGACUCCCCUCUUUCCUAGUCCAACUAGGAAAAGGAAGGGGGAAGGAAGGAGAGGGAAAGGAGAAGGAAAGGGGGCGCACCCCCUUCCUAGUCCAAUUAGGACCCCCUAUAGGGAGGGGGGCAGCUGCCCCUUGUGGGCUGCCUUCCCUCUUCCCUAUGGCCCAUGUAGGCCCAAUAGUCCCCCCGGGGUUUCUGAUAACCCCUUGGCACUCCGAUAAAUACCUGAAUCACUCGGAACCUUUCCGAUGUCCGAAUAUAGUCGUCCAAUAUAUUGAUCUUUACAUCUCGACCAUUUCGAGACUCCUCGUCAUGUCCCCAAUCUCAUCAGGGACUCGGACCUACCUUCGGUACAUCAAAACACAUAAACUCAUAAUAUAACCGUCAUCGAACUUUAAGCGUACGGACCCUACGGGUUCGAGAACUAUGUAGACAUGACCGAGACACGUUUCCUGUCAAUAACCAAUAGCGGAACCUGGAUGCUCAUAUUGGCUCCCACAUAUUCUACGAAGAUCUUUAUCGGUCAAACCACAUAACAACAUAUGUUGUUCCCUUUGUCAUAGGUAUGUUACUUGCCCGAGAUUCGAUUGUCGGUAUCUCAAUACCUAGUUCAAUCUCGUUACCGGCAAGUCUCUUUACUCAUUAUGUAAUGCAUCAUCCCGCAACUAACUCAUUAGUCACAUUGCUUGCAAGGCUUAUAGUGAUGUGCAUUACCGAGAAUGCCCAAAGAUACCUCUCCGAUAAUCAGAGUGACAAAUCCUAAUCUCGAAAUACGCCAACUCAACAUGUACCUUCGAAGACACCUGUAGAGCUCCUUUAUAAUCACCCAGUUAUGUUGUGACGUUUGGUAGCACACAAAGUGUUACUCCGGUAAACGGGAGUUGCAUAAUCUCAUAGUCAUAGGAACAUGUAUAAGUCAUGAAGAAAGCAAUAGCAACAUACUUAACGAUCAACUGCUAAGCUAACGGAAUGGGUCAAGUCAAUCACAUCAUUCUCUAAUGAUGUGAUCCCGUUAAUCAAAUGACAACUCAUGUCUAUGGUUAGGAAACUUAACCAUCUUUGAUUAACGAGCUAGUCAAGUAGAGGCAUACUAGUGACACUAUGUUUGUCUAUGUAUUCACACAUGUACUAAGUUUCCGGUUAAUACAAUUCUAGCAUGAAUAAUAAACAUUUAUCAUGAAAUAAGGAAAUAAAUAAUAACUUUAUUAUUGCCUCUAGGGCAUAUUUCCUUCAGUCUCCCACUUGCACUAGAGUCAAUAAUCUAGUUCACAUCAUCAUGUGAUUUAACACCAAUAUUCACAUCUGUAUGUGAUUAAUACCCAUAGUUCACAUCGUCAUGUGAUCAACACCCAAAGGGUACUUAAGGUAUGAUCAUGUUUUGUCGUGAGAGAAGUUUAGUGAACAGGUCUGUCACAUUCAGAGUCGUAUGUAUUUUGCAAAUAUUCUAUGUCUACAAUUCUCUGCACGGAGCUACUCUAGCUAAUUGUUCCAACUUCCAAUAUGUAUCCAGAUUGAGACUUAGAGUCAUCUAGAUUGGUGUAAAAGCUUGCACUGAUGUAACUCUUUACGACGGGCUCUUUUAUCACCUCCAUAAUCAAGAAAUAUUUCCUUAGUCCUCACUAAGGAUAAUCUUGACCACUGUCUAGUGAUCUACUCUAAGAUCAAAAUUGUACUCCCUUGCCAAACUCAGAACAAAGUAUACAAUAGGUUUUGUACACAGCAUAGCAUACUUUAUAGAACCUAUGACUGAAGGCAUAGGGAAUGAAUUUUCAUUCUCUUUCUAUUUUCUGCCAUGGUCGGGUUUUCAGUCUUACUCAACUUUACACCUGGCAACCCAGGCAAGAACUCCUUCUUUGAGUGUUCCAUUUUGAACUACUUCAAAAACUUAUCAAGGUAUGUACUCACUGAAAAAUCUUAUCAAGCGUCUUGAUCUAUCUCUGUAGAUCUUGAUGUCCAAUGUGUAAGCAACUUCACCGAGGUCUUUCAUUGAAAAACUUUUAUUCAAGUAUCCUUUUAUGCUAUCCAAAAAUUCUAUAUCAUUUCCAAUCAACAAUAUGUCGUCCACAUAUAAUAUCAGAAAUGCUACAGAUCUCCCACUCACUUUCUUGUAAAUACAGGCUUCUCCAGAAGUCUGUAUAAAACCAUAUGCUUUGAUCACACUAUCAAAGCGUUUAUUCCAACUCCGAGAGACUUGCACCAGUCCAUAAAUGGAUCCCUGGAGCUUGCACACUUUGUUAGCACCUUUCAGAUCGACAAAACCUUUUUUUGGAACGAAGACGCUAGAAGCGUCUGGCUUUAAAUUAAUAAAGCCCAUACGACAACAAGGUUCAAACGGUUACAAACUUAGCAAACUAAAAAGAGUAGCAACGGUCCACGACCAGCACGGGAAGGACAUAAGGUUCAUCGCGUCAACAAUAUUACAGCCAUCCAAACAGCACACCGCACCACCCAAGCUAAGAGACUUGCCACAGAAGUCACUCCAAAAUCCUUUUCAGCUCGUCGGGUCCUGUCUUGCUUGUGCCUGAAUCGCCUUGAUGCGCUCCAUGGCUUCUGUCAUGCGCUCAACAUCGCGCUCCUUCCCCAGAGGGGUCCACAUCUGCAAAAAUAGGUGGCAUUUGAAGAUCACGUCUCCAGGAUGGUGAGGAAAUUUUUUCUCGAUGGUAAUCUUAUUAUGCAUCGUCCAAAUAGCCCAAAGCAUCGCCCCUACGCAUCGCCAAACUAUUCUACUUGAAGUCCCUUUAGUGGACUUUAGGAUGGUGACAAGUUGGUGCCCUGAGGCAGGGUUCCAGUCCGUGUGGAAGGCCUCCCGAGCCGCACUCCACGCGAACCUGGCCAAAUGGCAUCUGAAAAAUACAUGGUUCGCAUCUUCGCCAAGUCCACAAACCGAGCAAGUACCGUCUGCCGGACCAUUUCGUUUGGCCACAUUAUCUGACGUAGGCAGCCUAUUCCUAAGCAUUUGCCACAUGAAGAUUUUUAUCUUCAAAGGCAGGCCUGCCUUCCACAGCCUCUUAGCUAUAUCAAGCGCUGGCCCUUCCGUGAGCUUGUUAUACAGGGACUUAACCAAGAACUUCCGUGAAGCAGUCAGGUUCCACUCUACCGUGUCAACCGUCGUCCCUAGACGGUUGGCACCGAUCAGCUGAAUCAACCCAUCCCAAGAUGCAUGCUCUUCGUUCGUAAGGGACCGCAUAAAGUGAAUCGCCAGAGGGUCAGUGCGGAUUGCCUCCCCAACUAAGACGUUUGUGUUAGUGGCUAUCCGAUAAAGGUUGGGGUGGCUUUGCCAAAGGGGGGAAGUACCCAGCCAAUGAUCGAGCCAAAACCGGGCUGAUUGGCCAUUGUUAAUCUGAAAUUUGGCCCCAAUGUCAAAAGCCGGCCGCACCGCUUGGAGCCCUCUCCAAAACACGGAGCCGUUGGCCGAGGCCGUGAAGGGGUUCCCGUUUGGGAAGUACUUGGACCUUAACAGUCUCGCCCAGAGCCCCGACUCAUCUUGGGCCAACGGCCACCACCAUUUGGCAAGGAGGGCGACGUUCAUUAGUUUGGAAUUGAGAAUUCCCAAUCCACCAUAUUUUUUUGGCCUACAAACAGCCGCCCAUUUGACAAGGUGGUAUUUCCUCUUGAUUCCAGUUCCUUCCCAAAAGAACCGUGAUCUCGGAGUAUCUAGCUCUGCGUGAACGCCGUUAGCUAGCAAGAACAUCCCCAUUGUGAAAAGGGGAAGAGAAGAGAGGCUCGAGUUUGUCAGAAUAAGCCUUGCGGCCGAGGACAUGAAUCUCCCACGCCACGGGCUUACCCUGUUGGCCACUUUCCCGUACAGGGGCUCCCACUCAAAAAUCGAAAGUUUGCGGUGAGAUAUAGGAAGCCCAAGGUACUUAAUUCGAAAGCUCCCCAGCUUGCAAUUAAGUAGGUUUGCGACACGUGUGCUGUGUUGGUCUUCCAUCCCCAUGGUAAUGACCUCACUCUUAAGAAAGUUAAUCUUGAGUCCGGAGAGGAGCUCAAAAGCUAAUAGCAAGAGCUUUAUCGUAGCAAUACUAUGGUCGUCCGGGUUAAACAGCAGCAAGGUGUCGUCAGCAUAUUGGAGGUGUGUCACACCACCUGAAAUGAGGUGUGGGACAAGCCCCUUGAUGUGUCCCGCCUCCCUGGCUUUGGACAACAUGGCAGCCAAAGCGUCCGCCACAAAGUUAAAGACGAGGGGGAAAACGGGGUCGCCUUGUCUAAGUCCUUUCCUAUUACAAAAGAACUUACCCAUAUCUCCAUUGACAAUAACUGAGGUGUUGCCACUCGAGAUCAGAUGCAUGAUCCGGUGGACGAACCCUGCCUCAAAACCCUUUUUGAGGAGGACCUCCCGUACAAACUCCCAGUUAACACGAUCGUAUGCUUUUUCGAAAUCUAAUUUGAGGAUGAUGCCCUGGCCCUGCGAACGUUUCAACUCAUGUAUAAUCUCCGUAAGGGUAAUAGGCCCUUCCAGGAUGUUCCUGCCUUUAAGGAAAGUGGUCUGGCUAGUGCUAAUGACACGUUGAGCGACCGACGCUAACCUAGAGGCAUAGGCCUUGGCACAAAUCUUGAAUGGAACGUUUAUGAGCAUGAUCGGCCGGAACUGCUUAAUAGAAUCCGCCCCUUUAACCUUGGGGAUCAGGCAUAUGGCCCCAUAAUUGAGACGCGACAGGUCCACCGAACCAAGGGUAAAGCCAUUGAGAAUCGCUAGAAACAAGGCCCUAAGCGCCGGCCAAAACCGUUUAAAGAACUCCACCGGCCAUCCAUCCGGGCCAGGAGCCGUGCCGUUCUUCAUGCCAGCAAGCGCACUAUCGAGCUCUUACGUCGAAAAGGACACCAUCAAGGCGUCAUUUUCCUGCUGCGAAACACGCUUGUGCAAGCCCCAUAAGUCUUCCCUGAGACUUAAACUCUUUACUUCGGUUGUACCCAACAGCUCGACGAAGAAAUCAAAGAUGUGCUUAACUAUUUCGUUUUGGGUGACCAGGGUCCCGCCCUCCGACUAGAGCCUAAGAAUCAUGCUCUUGCGCUUACGACCAUUAGCGUAAGCGUGGAAGUAUCCUGUGUUUGCGUCGCCUUUCACGACCCACUUAACGCCGCCCCUGCGGCGCCAAUACUCCUCCUCUGCCCUGAGAAUAGCCAAGACUUGGUGCUCUAAGGAGUAUCUAUACUCCCAUUCGUCCCCAGAGAAGGUUCUCAUGUCCGCCUGCGCGUCUAAGAGAGCGAUUUCAUUCACUAUGCGCUCCCGAACCCUUUUAGAUUCGCUGCCAUGAUUGGCCCCCCAACCCCUGAGGAAAGCCCGUAAGGCGGCGGCAGCAGAGGACCAUAACUCUACUGGUCCUCGUUGGCGGCCAACCUGGUUACCAAUCAAAGACCAACGGUCCGUGACAAGUUGGCAGAAACCUUCAUGUUCGAACCACGCCGUCUCGAAAAAGAAUCUACGGCUACGAUGCACACUUUCCUCCCCUGAUGAAAGAAUCAGAGGAACGUGGUCUGAUCCAAUGCGCGUUUCCGCCACUAAGGUACAUAGGGGGAACAAGACCUCCUAGUCACUUGAACAAAAAACACAGUCAAGUACACAUCACACUGGCUCCCGUUGUUUGUUUGUCCAAGUAUAUCUUGUCCCUGUACGCGCAAUCUCUCUAAGAGCAGCGGCCGCGAUGGCAUUAUUGAACAAGGACACCCUAGCCCAGUCAAUGUUGUCGUUGCUCUUAUCCGCCCCCGAGCGGACCAAGUUAAAAUCACCUCCCACCAAACUGGUAAGUUGGACACUUGUUUGGCCCCAACCAGAGCUAUGAGUUCUCCCAAGAACUCCGCAGACCGCGCAUGAUUAGCCGGCCCAUAUACACUUACGAUCACCCAAGAGGCAAGGGAAACCCGAUGACGAAAAGUGGCAGCGAUAUAAAACGAACCAGAUUCCCACAUAAUAAUGCCGCAAGCAUCUUUAUUACAACCCAUCAAUUGACCACUAGAAAGGCCCACGGAAGGGGUCCAGAACCAAUCAAAACGCUGGAGCGGAUCGUACGCCAAAAGAUCUCUAAAUGAAAAAUCAGCCUUAAUCGUCUCCUGGAGCGCGACAAAGUCGAUGUGUUCUUUGGCCAUAUACUCACGCAGUUGCGUACGCCGCCCCACAUGCCCACAACCACGGAUAUUCCAGAAGAUGUAUCGCAUCAAAUGAUCCGGUUGCGCAGGCGGACUCCACGGGAGCUAACCGCCUUGGCCACACGCUUCCUAACCGGCGCCCGGCUGGAAGAGGGAAAGUCCGAGGCCACCCCAGCCUCGUCUCCCUCGAUGGGCAGAGAGACAAGACCAGCCCCUACUGGUGCUGAAGACUGGCCGUCCACUGACUGAAUGGCCACGCCCCUGGCAGCAGCAGCCGCCAGGGCGGCCUGAGCUUCUUCACACGCUCGCACUAACGGAAUAAUGUCCAAAGUCAAAGAAUCAAGCGCAACACCACUAUCAUGAAGAAUCUCGGCAAGAUGCUCGUCGGAAAAAGCAUUCAGAAUCUUAAAAGAAGGGGUAGGGUUACCUGCAACAUCCAUGUUUUUGUCAGCAGCACGGAGCUUGGCACUUUCCAGAGAACAUAAGUCCCCAAGCUUGGCCUUGGCACGAGCACUUGGAGCCCGGGACGCCACUGGGGUUGCCCUUGUACGCUUGGCCUUGGCUGCUGGCCCUGAAGCCACCAAAGCCGCCCCCAACUCGCCCCCCAGCGCCGCGCCGACCCCGCCGCAGCCGUGUCCACCGUCUUGCACCCAGCCUUCCGCCCAGCAGUCUUCUUGGCCUGGCGGCCGGAGCCGCUCGACAGGCGCCCUUCCGAGACCGGAGUGGGUACCAAGUCCAUGAGGAUGCAGUCCAACCCCGAGCCCCCUCCGCCCCCUGGAGAGGCAGGCAAGGCCUCGGUCUCCAUGGCCACCAACGACAGAGGCACUAUCGCAUUCCCCAGCCUUUCGAAGGACGGGUCCAGAGAGCGAGCGAGGGGGGGAAGGCUUACGGUCGUGUCUUGAGUCGCUAUCACCCCCAGUUUCUCCCAAGUUUCAGUAUCAAUUGAAGUAUCUUUGAUGCUAUCUUCAUGCUCAUCAGCCAGCUCGCCCAUCACCCCAUCUUGACCAACCGCCCGCACUCUGAAGCCAGCCGCCUCCUUCUGUGGCACCACCGACGCAGCAAUGGGCACUAUCGCACCAGUGGCAGUCACCUUGGAGGAAUUGCCCGCGGGUGGCCCAGGCUUGUGAGGCCCGCCCUUGCCAUGCUGGCUGUCAGGCGGGGGAGCGGAGGGGCCCGCCCCCGGAGCCCCUCCCCCAACCCCCAGCCACCGCGGGAGCUGCUCCAGCUCAACCCUGAUCUGGUACCCUUCGUGGUUGAACCAAACCUCCACUGUGCCGUUCAGCUUGGCCGGAGUCUUGCAAGCCAGUUUCAUCCGCACCGGACCCAAUUUAAUGAUGGAGAGCUCAUCGACCACGAUAGGCCGCCCCAACAUCUUGAAAGCCUCCUCGAUACACUCGAUCUUGCGAUGCUUCUCAGGGAUCCCAUGGAGCCGCACCCAUGCUUCUGGCAUCACCAUAGGUUGAAUCACCUCGUGCACCACAUCACGCACCCUAGCGGUGAUGUCGUUAAUUGAGAGGAACAGCUUGCCACUAGUCCGACCCAUAUGAAGGAGAUCUGCAGAGGGGAAAACCACCAUGAAAUCGUCUUCUCCCACUUGAGUGACUUGCUAGUCCCAAUCCCCCGUAACCAUGUGCUUGAGCUCCUGCUUGAGGACCCGCAGAUUCAGGCGGCCCGGCUCUGCGGAGAGAAUCACAGCAUUGCCGAUCGAGACCAGCCGAGGACCCUCGGACUCCGCCUCCUCUUCAAACUGCAGACAGAAGAAACCCUCCCCUGAAAUUGCGCUUCUCAUGAUCUGCAGGCUUGGCUGACACCCCUUCGUCGGACAGUGCGCAGAUGCAUGUCCCUCUUCCUUGCAUAGCACACACAAGGGCUGAAAUUUGCACUUGGACUGAUAGUGACCUAGCCUGCCGCACUUGAAGCACUCCACAUCCAUCUCCUCCGACGCGUCCUCCACCGGAAUGGGCUCGCCCGCUAUGCCCUUCGCACCAGGGGGGAGAGACACCGCCAGAGGUUCGGCCGCCGCCCUAGGCUUAUUGGCCAGAGGAUCCCCAUGGCCACCACCAUAGUUGGGAAGAUCCGCUGGCUUGCGCUCGAGCUCCCGGCGCCGAGCCAUCUCUUUUUUCUUCUUUCUUCGCUCCUGCUGCUGGAUCCACCAAGGGGGAGGAGGACCCCAAUCCCCCUCGCGCCCCUCCUGCUCGUGGCUUCGCUCAGAUCUGCCGCUCGGUCUUGCGCACAUCUCUUUCUUUGCCUUCUCCCUCAGAUCGUGCUCACACCGCCGCUCCCCAUCCGAGACCAGAGGCUCCAUUGGCCUCUUCUCCGCACGCCGCCCGCUCAUCACCGCCGCCGCAAACGAAAUGGAGAGAGGAGGAGGUGGGGAGAUGGGGUGGAUGGAGCGAACGAGGUGAGCCCAGCGCCGCACCUUGUUUCUGGAAGCAUGAAACCCUAGCGUGGGGUCGAGGCAGCCGCGUCACAUCCAUAUAUAGGCGCCACCGCUGGGCCUAGGCCGAGGCAGGCCCGGCACAGGCUGGUCAGAACCGACAGGACCACUUAGAGCCAGACCCCCGGGACCAGAAGGCACACUGUCCCCCACUAGACUUGGGCCGCCGACCCUCACUAAACUUGGUGAGUGGGCCGGCCCAUGAUCCACCUGCCCCUCGGCGGCCCCUGGCCCAGUGCCCGCAACCCUAGUCGCAAGGGAGCCAGAACCGCCCGCCGCCUCCUGCGGCACGGCCAGCGGUGCCGCCAGCACCCGCCCGACCGUUGCCGCCGCCGCCAGACAUGGCCACUCCACCUCCGAGUCCACCGCAGCCAGGAGUGCAGCCGCCCCCUCUCCUGGAUGCCCCGUGCGGCACCCCCUGGAGAUGCCGAGCCCUUGCCCGGAGUCAAAGAGGGUCUCCAAGCACGGACUGCGACCUCGCGCGACCCCCGAUCUCCCGGAGCAAAACGGCGGCGCGCCCUCACGGCGCCGCUCCCCUCCGCAUGCGCACAAGCCACAAAAUCUCCAAGCGACGGCCUCGCGCGGCGCCAGAUGCUCAGCCUCCACCGUUGAAUCCACAACCUCCUCGGCCUCGUCCUUCGAAUCGAAAUCAGCCAACGCCCAAAAGCGGCCUCCCACGGAUGCCAGCGCCGCGCCUGCCCCCAUGGCCGGCCCCGCCCUCGGCGGAGAGGCGCUAGCGCCACGCCGGACAACCUCCCAGCCCUCGCUGGCCGGAGCCGAAGGCGACCGGGGCAGGGAGCCCGGGCCGUCGCCAGGAGGAGAGCCUAACGGUCCGCUCAUUCUCGCGUGGUGGCGGAUCGACAAAACCUUCUGGUUGCAUCAUAUACAACUCUUUUUCCAGAAAUCCGUUCAGGAAUGCAGUUUUGACAUCCAUUUGCCAAAUUUCAUAAUCAUAAAAUGCGGCAAUUGCUAACAUGAUUCGGACAGACUUAAGCAUCACUACGGGUGAGAAGGUCUCAUCGUAGUCAACCCCUUGAACUUGUCGAAAACCUUUUGCAACAAGUCGAGCUUUGUAUAUAGUAACACUACUAUCAGUGUCCAUCUUCCUCUUGAAGAUCCAUUUAUUCUCUACGGCUAUCCGAUCAUCGGGCAAGUCCACCAAAGUCCACAAUUUGUUCUCAUACAUGGAUCCCAUCUCAGAUUUCAUGGCCUCAAACCAUUUCGCGGAAUCUGGGCUCAUCAUCGCUUCCUCAUAGUUUGUAGGUUUAUCAUGGUCUAGUAACAUGACUUCCAGAAUAGGAUUACCAUACCACUCUGGUGCGGACCGUACUCUGAAAGACCUACGAGGUUCUGUAGUAACUUGAUUUGAAGUUUCAUGAUCAUCAUCAUUAGCUUCCUCACUAAUUGGUGUAGGCAUCACUGGAACUGAUUUUAGUGAUGAACUAUUUUCCAAUUCGGGAGAAGGUACUAUUACCUCAUCAAGUUCUACUUUUCUCCCACUCACUUCUUUCGAGAGAAACUCCUUCUCUAGAAAGGAUCCAUUCUUAGCAACGAAUAUUUUGCCUUCGGAUCUGUGAUUAGAAGGUGUACCCAAAAGUCUCCUUUGGGUAUCCUAUGAAGAUGCAUUUCUCCGAUUUGGGUUCGAGCUUAUCAGGUUGAAACUUUUUCACAUAAGCAUCGCAACUCCAAACUUUAAGAAACGACAACUUAGGUUUAUUGCUAAACCAUAGUUCAUACGGUGUUGUCUCAACGGAUUUAGAUGGUGCCCUAUUUUAACGUGAAUGCAGCUAUCUCUAAUGCAUAACCCCAAAACGAUAUUGGUAAAUCGGUAAGAGACAUCAUUGAUCGCACCAUAUCCAAUAAAGUGCAGUUAUGACGUUCAGACACACUGUUACGAUGUGGUGUUCCAGGUGACAUGAGUUUGUGGAACUAUUCCACAUUAUUUGAACUGAAGGCCAAAAUCGUAACUCAAAUAUUCAUCUCUAUGGUCAGAUCGUAGAAAUUUUAUUUUCUUGGUACGAUGAUUUUCCACUUCACUCUGAAAUUCUUUGAACCUUUCAACUGUUUCAGACUUAUGUUUCAUCAACUAGAUAUACCCAUAUCUGCUCAAAUCAUCUGUGAAGGUCAGAAAAUAAUGAUAUUCGCCACGAGCCUUAAUACUCACUGGUCUGCAUACAUCAGUAUGUAUUAUGUCCAACAAGUUAGUAGCUCGUUCCAUUGUUCCGGAGAACGGAGUUUUAGUCAUCUUGCCCAAAAGGCGCGGUUCACACGCAUCAAAUGAUUCGUAACCAAAUGAUUAUGAAAAUCCAUCUUUAUGGAGUUUCUUCAUGCGCUUUACACCGAUAUAACCAAAUGGUAGUGCCAUAAAUAAGUUGCACUAUCAUUAUUAACUUUGCAUCUUUUGGCAUCAAUAUUAUGAAUAUGUGUAUCACUAUGAUCGAGAUCCAACAAACUUAUUUUCAUUGGGUGUAUGACCAUUGAAUGUUUUAUUCAAGUAAACAGAACAACAAUUAUUCUCUGACUUUAAAUGAAUAACCGUAUUGCAAUAAACAUGAUCAAAUCAUAUUCAUGUUCAACGCAAAAGCCAAAUAACAUUUAUUUAGGUCUAACACUAAUCCCGAAAGUAUAGGGAGUGUGUGAUGAUGAUCAUAUCAAUCUUGGAACUACUUCCAACACUCAUCGUUACUUCCCCUCAACUAGUCUCUGUUUAUUCUGUAACUCCUGUUUCGAGUUACUAAUCUUAGCAACCGAACAAUUAUCAAAUACUCCGGGGGGCUACUAUAAACACUAGUAAGGCACACAUCAAUAACCUGUAUAUCAAAUAUACCCUUGUUCACUUUGCCAUCCUUCUUAUCCACCAAAUAUUCAGGGCAUUUCCGCUUCCAGUGACCAUUUCCUUUGCAGUGUAAGCACUCAGUUUCAGGCUUUGGUCCAGCUUUGGGAUUCUUCGCAGGAGUGACAACUUGCUUGUCAUUCUACUUGAAGUUCCCUUUCUUUCCCUUUGCCCAUUUCUUGAAACUAUUGGUCUUGUCAAUCAUCAACACUUGAUGCUCUUUUCUUGAUUUCUACCUUCGUCGAUUUCAACAUCACGAAGAGCUCGGGAAUCGUUUUCGUCAUCCCUUGCAUACUAUAGUUCAUCAUGAAGUUCUAUUAACUUGGUGAUGGUGACUAGAGAACUCUGUUAAUCACUAUCUUAUCCGGAAGAUUAACUCCCACUUGAUUCAAGUGAUUGUAGUACCCAGACAAUCUGAGCACAUGCUCACUAGUUGAGCAAUUCUCCUCCAUCUUUUAGCUAUAGAACUUGUUGGAGACUUCAUAUCUCUCAACUCAAGUAUUUGCUUGAAAUAUUAACUUCAACCCCUGGAACAUCUCAUAUGGUCCAUGACGUUCAAAACAUAUUUGAAGUCCCGAUUCUAAGCCAUUAAGCAUGGUGCACUAAACUAUCAAGUAGUCAUCAUAUUGAGCUAGCCAAACGUUCAUAACGUCUACAUCUGCUCCUGCAAUAGGUCUGUCACCUAGCGGUGCAUCAAGGACAUAAUUCUUCUGUGCAGCAAUGAGGAUAAUCCUCAGAUCACGGAUCCAAUCCGCAUCAUUGCUACUAUCAUCUUUCAACUUAGUUUUCUCUAGGAACACAUAUAAAACAUAUGAAAGCAACAACGCAAGCUAUUGAUCUACAACAUAAUUUGCAAAAUACUACCAGGACUAAGUUCAUGAUAAAUUUAAGUUCAAUUAAUCAUAUUACUUAACAACUCCCACUUAGAUAGACAUCCCUCUAAUCAUCUAAGUGAUCACGUGAUGCAAAUCAACUAAGCUAUGUCCAAUCAUCACGUGAGAUGGAGUAGUUUUCAAUGGUGAACAUCAUUAUGUUGAUCAUAUCUACUAUAUGAUUCACGCUCGACCAUUCGGUCUCAGUGUUCCGAGGCCAUAUCUGUAUAUGCUAGGCUCGUCAAGUUUAACCUGAGUAUUCCGCGUGUGCAACUGUUUUGCACCCAUUGUAUUUGAACGUAGAGCCUAUCACACCCGAUCAUCACGUGGUGUCUCAGCACGAAGAACUUUCGCAACGGUGCAUACUCAGGGAGAACACUUAUACCUUGAAAUUUAGUGAGAGAUCAUCUUAUAAUGCUACCGUCAACCAAAGGAAAAUAAGAUGCAUAAAGGAUAAACAUCACAUGCAAUCAAUAUAAGUGAUAUAAUAUGGCCAUCAUCAUCUUGUGCUUGUGAUCACCUUGUCCGAAGCACCAUCAUGAUCACCAUCAUCACCGGCGCGACACCUUGAUCUCCAUCGUAGCAUCGUUGUCGUUUCGCCACCUAUUGCUUCUACCACUAUCGCUGCCGCUUAGUGAUAAAGUAAAGCAAUUAUAGGGCGAUUGCAUUGCAUACAAUAAAGCGACAACCAUAUUGAAAGGAUCGAGAAGAGGUGUCUAGAGGGGGGUGAUUAGACACUAAGUACCAAAAGUUGCAGUUUUUAACUUCUUUAAGUUGGAGUGGAGUUUAGGCACAAGUUUAACACUCACUAUACAUAUCAAGCAAGCAUGCAAAGAGUAUAUGAGCGGCGGAAAGUAAAGCAUGCAACUUGCAAGAAUUUAAAGGGAAGGGUUUGGAGAAUUCAAACGCAAUUGAAGACACAGAUGUUUUUGUCAUGGUUCCGAUAGGUGGUGCUAUCGUUCAUCCACGUUGAUGGAGACUUCAACCCAUGAAGGGUUACGAUUGCGCGAGUCCAUGGAGGGCUCCACCCACGAAGGGUCCAUGAAGAAGCAACCUUGUCUAUCCCAUCAUGGCCGUCGCCCACAAAGGACUUGCCUCAAUAGCGAUAGAUCUUCACGAAGUAGGCAAUCUCCUUGCCCUUACAAACUCCUUGGUUCAACUCCACAAUCUUGUAGGAGGCUCCCAAGUGACACCUAGCCAAUCUAGGAGACACCACUCUCCAAGAAGUAACAAAUGGUGUAUUGAUGAUGAACUCCUUGCUCUUGUGCUUCAAAUGAUAGUCUCCCCAACACUCAACUCUCUCUCACAGGAUUUGGAUUUGGUGGAAAGAAGAUUUGAGUGGAAAGCAACUUGGGGAAGGCUAGAGAUCAAGAUUCAUAUGGUAGGAAUGGAAUAUCUUGGCCUCAACACAUGAGUAGGUGGUUCUCUCUCAGAAAAUGCAUGCUGGAAGUGUAGGUUCGUUCUGAUGGCUCUCUCCAUGAAUGAAGAGGAGGUGGAGGGGUAUAUAUAGCCUCCACACAAAAUCUAGCCGUUACACACAACUUGCCAAACUCGGUGGGGCUGAAUUGAAAAACUCGGUCGGACCGAUUCAGCAAAUCUAGUGACCGUUAGGAUUUUCGGUGGGACCGACAUGCAACUCAGUAGGACCGAUAUGGUUAGGGUUAGGGCUUAAUGUAAUCUCGGUAAGACCGAUUACACAAACUCGGUGGGACCGAUUUUGGUAAUAAGAUAACCAGAGAGUUGGUCAGGCAAACUCGGUUUGACCGAUUUCACAAGCUCGGUAGGACCGAUUUUGGUAAUAAGUUAACCAGAGAGUUUGCAUUGUAAUCUCGGUAGUACUGAUUGCUCAAACUCGGUGAGACCGAUUUUGGUAAUGGACAUACAAAAAGAGAUUACAAUCCCAUCUCGGUGAGACCGAGAUCCCUAUCGGUGAGACCAAUUUGCCUAGGGUUUGUGGCAGUGGCUAUGACAUCUGAACUCGGUGGCGCCGGAUAGAAAGAAUCCGUAGGGCCGAGUUAGACUUUUGGUUUAGGACAUAUGUGGAUGUGAGAAAGUAGUUGAGGGCUUUGGAGCAUAUCACUAAGCACUUUGAGCAAGCAAGCCAUUAAGCAACACCUCAUCCCCUCUUGAUAGUAUUGGCUUUUCCUAUAGACUCAAUGUGAUCUUGGAUCACUAAAAUAGAAAAUGUAGAGUCUUGAUCUUGGAGCUUGAGCCAAUCCUUUGUCCUUAGCAUCUUGAAGGGGUUCCACAUCCUUCAGUCCAUGCCACUCCAUUGUUGAACUUGUCUGAAACAUACUAGGUAAAAGUGUUAGUCCAACAAGAGAUAUGUUGACAUUAAUUACCAAACCCACCCAGGGAGCACUUGUGCUUUCAAUCUCCCCCUUUUUGGUAAGUGAUGAUAACAUACAUCAAAGCCUUAGAUAAAGAUAUAAAGUAUAAUAAGUAAAGCUUUGGAAAGAUAUGUAACAUGCAUAGGCUCCCCCUACAUGUAUGCAAUCAUGUGAAUAUGGAAUAUAGAAGCAUGUGAAUGCAUAAACAUGACAGAGUAAGCAAUGUGUUACAUGUAUCUUGGCUAUAUGCAUCAGAGCAAAUGAUGUGAGUAUGAGAAAUGUACCUUCAUGCUCAUGAGUCCUUCUUGCAAACAGUAUGUACAUCAGUAAGAAUUCUUCAUACGCAUGAUUGUGAUGCAUAUACUUACCUUGUGGUCUUGAGUUGGCUUGGAUGGAAUGAACCUGUGAAAAUAAGGUUAGAUAACACAGGUACACCUACUGGCCAGAGCAAACAAAAGAAACCACAAGAGUACUAAGACUGGGAUGACAUGUUGAGAGUGAGUACUAAGUACCACAUUGAAUAUAGACAUGUCCCCAAAGGUAAAGAUGUGCAAUGAAUUUAAAGAAUUUCUUUCCCUUAGAUGUCUUGCUCCCCCUGAAUCUAGAAUGGGAUACUGGGAGAAGAUAGGGAACAGAAAAUCAGAGCAAAAUGCAAAAUCAGAGCUCAAAGAAACAAAUGAACAGAGCUAAUGCAAAUAAGCACAUAUGAACAUGUCUUUCCCCUCAAGAAGACAUGUGGCAUCUCUCCUCUUGAACACCAAGCAUCUGGGAUCCUUGAAGAUUACUCUCUUCUUGAGUAUUCUCUCCCCCUGGAGAUAUCUCUCCCCCUGUUGAAGUGAUAAGCUUUGAUGUGAUCUCUCUUUGAUGUGAUCUCUCUCUCUCCCUUUGACAUCAAUUUCCAAGAAGGGCCUUCUGGAAUUUGUCGUGAAUGGAUUUGGUCCUUGAGUCACAGCACAAAGCACUAAGGAAAGUGUGAUGCUUGUAGAGGACAAGAUUCAUUGAGUGGAGCUGGAUCAAAAGUAAAGCAGGAAUAAAUGGCAAAAUGUUUUUCCUGUUGUGAAAUCGGUGGCACCGAGUUGGAUGCUUCGGUUGCACCAAAUGAUUUCGGUUAGACCGAAAACAAGAAAACAGUGUGACCGAGUUCAUCACAGAGAAAACACUUGUCACCUCAGCUCACUAGACAGGUAAGAUCUCACAAGGAUUUGCAAGCAAUUAACAGAAAUAUUUGCAAUGAAUUGGAUGCAGGGAAUGCAGAACAAAUAGAAAAGGAAAGAAAUCUAGAUGAAGUUUUUUUUGAAAGGGGAAACAAAUAUGCAUGAGAAAAAUGCAAGAGCACAGAAAAAGAACACGUGAGAACUUCAUCUAGAAAUGGUCGGCGACAAGGUCACCUAUGUUAGAGUAUAUUGACUUAGGAGUCAAGUGAGAUCACUUGAUCAUAGGUCAUACUCAUCGUUUAAGCUCAAAAUGGGGUUACCAUUUUUUUGUUUAAGCAUCUUGAUGUAUUCACAUCUUGUCGAGUUGCUUUGACUCAUGACUUGGAGUAAAGCUUCUCUAAGAUGGAAUAACAUACCUUGGGUGGUGGUGUUGAUCGUGAUCAUUUAGUUGAACCUAUGUGGGUUGCUCAAGGUUGAUGUAGCUCAUCAAGAGUUGGGAGCACCACUUGGAAUUUGAGUUCAUCUACCUACAUGGGUUAGUUUUUGCAAGGAAGAGCACUUGUGUAUCCAAAAUGACAAUCAUGAAGAUCAACAUAGAAUUUGUCAAAUGAUAUGUUUGAAUGGUUCCGUGCUUCCUUGUCUUCAACCACCAUUGUGUAAAGACUUGGUGAUGUAGAGAUUGCUCAAGAUGUGAGUGAGUUGCAAUCUCAUAGAAUUAGAUUCAUCCAAGUACCUACAAGGGUUAGAUAACGUGCAAGAUGCAAAUAUAUCCAAGACAUAAGAUUUUCAUCAUAAGAGAAAUAUCACGGAUUAGUCAUAAGCUAAUGUCUUGCAUGCAUCCGAUGGAGUUCCUACUCCAAGUUUGAAGCAUCAAUGAUGUUAAAUUCACCUCUUAACCUGCAAAACACUUUCUCAUCAAGUGGUUUAGUGAAUAUCCGCUAAUUUCUUUUCGGUGCGAACAUGCUUAAGAUUAAUGUCACCCUUAGCAACAUGAUCUCGAAUGAAAUGAUGACGAACUUCAAUAUGCUUAGUUCGAGGGUGUUGCACGGGAUUAUGAGCAAUCUUGAUAGCACUUUCAUUAUCACAAAGUAAUGGAACAUGUUUCACAUAUAUCCCAUAAUCUUUAAGCGUUUGGGUCAUCCAAAUUAAUUGAGCACAACAUGAACCAACGACAAUGUAUUCCGCUUCGGUGAUGGAUAAGGAUACCGAGUUUUGUUUCUUGGAAGACCAAGACACAAGAGAUAUACCAAGAAAUUGACAAGUACCCGAAGUGGACUUUCUAUCAACCUUGUCACCGGCAUAGUCCGAGUCGGAGUAGUCAACAAGAUCGAAAGAGGCCCUCUUAGGAUACCAAAUGCCAAAAUUUGGUGUAUGGAUUAAGUAUCUCACUAUCCUUUUCACGUCCUUAAGAUGACAUUCUUUAGGAGAAGCUUGAUAUCGUGCACACAUGCACACACUUAGCAUGAUAUCGGGACAUGAAGCACAUAGAUAUAACAAUGAACCAACCAUAGAGCGAUAAACCUUUUGAUCAACUGGUUCACCAUCUUUGGUCAAAUCAAGAUGUCCACUAGUAGACAUGGGUGUAGUCAUACCUUUGCAUUCUUGCAUAUUGAACUUCUUGAAUAAGUCUUUGGUGUACUUCGUUUGAGAGACAAAGGUACCUUCCUUAGUUUGCUUGAUUUGCAAACCAAGAAAGAAUUUGAGUUCACUCAUCAUAGACAUCUCAAACUUCUCCGACAUUAGCUUCCCAAACUUUUCACUAAAAUGAGGGUUAGUAGAACCAAAUAUAAUAUCAUCAACAUAGAUUUGGCAUACAAAUAGUUCUCCAUUGACCCUCUUAGUAAAAAGAGUAGAAUCUAUUUUUCCAAUUUCAAAGCCUUUUUCAAUAAGGAACUUGGUCAAGCAUUUAUACCAUGCUCUAGGAGCUUGUUUAAGACCAUAAAGAGCUUUGUGAAGUUUGUAAACAUGAUCAGGUUUCUUAGGAUUAACAAGUCGGGAGGUUGUUUAACAUAAACUUCCUCCUCUAUUUCACCAUUUAGAAAAGCACUUUUAAUGUCCAUUUGGUACAAGGUGAUAUCAUGGUGAUUAGCAUAGGCAAGUAAGAUGCGAAUGGACUCAAGUCUAGUAACGGGAGCAUAAGUCUCACCAUAAUCCAUACCUUCGACUUGUGUGUAGCCUUGGGAGACGAGACGUGCUUUGUUGCGAACUACUUGUCCAUCUUCAUCUUGCUUGUUGCAAAACACCCAUUUGGUACCGAUGAUGUUGUGGUUGUUGUCGGGCUUCUCAACCAAUGUGCAAACUUGAUUUCUCUCAAAGUUGUGUAGCUCUUCAUGCAUGGCAUUUAUCCACUCCGGAUCUUCCAAUGCCUCUUCAACAUUCAUAGGUUCAAUGCUAGAGAUGAAUGAAUAGUGUUCACAAAAGUUAGCUAAACGAGUUUUAGAGCGAGUGAUUCUCCCGUUUUGGAUAUCAUUGUAUAUUUGCUCAAUGGGGUGGUCUUUAGCAAUUCUUGCUCGAACUCAUGAAUGCUUUUGCUUGGGUCUUGGUUGAACAUCUUCUUCAUCUUGUUCUUCUUCUUGGCCUUCUUCAUUGUUGACAUUGUCGUUCUCUUGUCGUGGUGGAGAAGGAGGUUGUUGACGUUCAUCUUGAUGCACUUCCUCGUUUUCUUCAUCUUGGUGUGUCCCACUUGUGGAUGCUUCCAUAUCAACUCUUGGUUCACCUUGUCGUGGGGUAGAAGCUUCCACUUGGACGGACGAGGUACUCUCCUUCACCUCCGUUGGACGAAUCUUGCCAAUAGAAAAGUCUUGGAUUGCUUCCGAGGGAUCUUUGUCUCCUACAUCAAUUGGCAAUUGCUCUACUUGCGAGCCGUUAGAUUCAUCAAACUUCACAUCUACCGUUUCUUCAACCUUUCGGGUGAAAUUGUAGUAGACACGGUAUGUGUGAGAGUUUGAGCCAUAACCAAGUAGGAAACCUUCAUGAGACUUAGGAGCAAAUUUAGAACGACGAUGCUUAUCAAGAAUGUAGCACUUUGAGCCGAAUACUCGAAAGUAUCCAACUUGGGGUUUGUUACCGGUGAGGAGCUCGUAUGCCGUCUUGCCGAGUAGCUUGUGAAGAUACAAGCGAUUUGUUGCAUCACAAGCUGUCUCAACCGCUUCUGCCCAAAAGUGCUUCGGUAUCUUGUACUCAUCAAGCAUCAUUCUCGCCAUUUCGAUGAGCGUCUGGUUCUUCCUCUCAACAACUCCAUUUUGUUGAGGUGUGUACGUAGCCAAGAACUCGUGUGAAAUCUCUUCUUCAUCAAGAAAGGUGUCCACAUUUGUGUUCUUGAACUCCGUUCCAUUGUCGCUCCGAACCUUCUUGAUCUUCACUUCAAAUUGAUUUUGGGCCUUCCUAGCGAAGUUUUUUAAGAUCUUUUGAACCUGUGAUUUAUCAUCGAGAAAGAACACCCACGUAAAUCUUGAAAAAUCAUCAACUAUAACUAGACCAAAAGAAUUUCCACCGAGACUUUUGUAGGCGUUGGGACCAAAAAGAUCCAUGUGAAGUAGCUCGAGUGGCCUCCUUGUCGUCAUGAUGUUCUUCACGGGAUGCCUUCCUCCAACCUGUUUACCUGCUUGACAAGCGCUGCAAAGUCUAUCCUUAUCAAAUAUGACAUCGUUAACUCCAAGGAUAUGAUUUCCUUUAAUAAGCUUGUCAAGGUUUCGCAUACCAACAUGACCUAAUCGUCUAUGCCAUAACCAACCUUUAGAGGAUUUAGCAAUAAAGCAAUUUCUAGGUUGAGCCUUUUUACUGAAAUCAACAAUGUACAGAUCACCUCUAUGUACACCGGUAAAGACCAUUUUAUGAUUAUCUCUACGAAACACUUGGCAAUCUACUUCAGUAAAUAGGACAUUGAAUCCUAAAUCAGCAAGUCUAGAUACUGAAAGUAAGUUGUAGCAAGAGAUUCAAUGAGCAUGACAUUUUGUAUGGAGCUAUCAUGUGAUAUGGCCACCUUACCGAGGCCAACCACCUUACCCUUUGAGUUGUCACCGAAAGUGACAUACUUUCGAGGACCAUCGUUUUCAGCAAGCUCACGAAACAUGUCUUUAUCUCCGGUCAUGUGAUCGGUACAUCCACUAUCAAGAACCCAUUCCUUUCCUCCUGCCAUAUAUCCCCGAAGAUUUGCCAUAAGACCAAAGUGUCUCAUUGCAUCAUCAAGAUCAAAGUCACUAUCACCAUCCUCAUCAUAGUAUCCAUGUUCAACAUCGCCAUGUGGUGGAUCAAAUCCUAGAGAGGGUGAUUCGUUAGAGUGAGUUUGACAAUGAUCUUGUUUAUGAAUUUUAAUAGCUUCGGAAAUAAUAUCACUAAUAAUUCCAACAUCUCCUUUGGCACGCAUAAGGUUUGUAAGCUCAAAUAGACAAUCACCAAACAUAUGAUCACUAGAAUUCAAUUUACUCAAGGCAAUAGACUUAUGGAGAAUUUCAUCUAGAUUUUUCAAGGAAUAAUUUGGAAAGCGUUCCUCAAGAAAUUUCCAUAUGGUGUAGGCACACUUAAGAGUAGGCAAACAUCCAAUCAAGUUUUUAGGCAAGCCUCUAGUGAUAAGUUCAACAGUUCUAAGAUUGUGAAUCAUGUCAAUUGAAUCAUCAAGGGUAGGAUGCAUAGGAUCAACAUGAGGUGCACAAGGGCUAGCAAUGUACUUAUUCAAAUGAUAUUGCCUGAAAAUCACAAGCAUCUCAUUUUUCCACUCAUGAAAGUACUCUCCAUCAAGUAUAGGCACUCUAUGUCUAAGACUCCCAAUAGUAGACUCAUCCAUCUUCCUCCAAUGGUGUUUAAACCAAGGCAAUGGAGACCAAAGCUCUGAUACCAAUUGAAAAGAUCGAGAAGAGGUGUCUAGAGGGGGGGGGUGAUUAGACACUAAGUACCCAAAGUUGCAGUGUUUAACUUCUUUAAGUUGGAGUGGAGUUUAGGCACAAGUUUAACACUUCCCUUUACAUUCUUGCAAGUUGCAUGCUUUACUUUCCGCUGCUCAUAUACUCUUUGCAUGCUUGCUUGAUAUGUAUAGUGAGUGUUAAACUUGUGCCUAAACUCCUGCCAGUUGCCGAUAACUCGAUUACAAAACAUGAUCAUCUCAUACAAUAAAAUAUAGUAUCACGUCUUGACCAUAUCACAUCACAACAUGCCUUGCAAAAACAAGUUAGACGUCCUCUACUUUGUUGUUGCAAGUUUUACGUGGCUGCUACGGGCUGAGCAAGAACCGUUCUUACCUACGCACCAAAACCACAACGAUAGUUCGUCAAGUUAGUGUUGUUUUAAACUUCUCAAGGACCGGGCGUAGCCACACUCGGUUCAACUAAAGUUGGAGAAACUGACACCCGCCAGCCACCUAUGUGCAAAGCACGUCGGUAGAACCAGUCUUGCGUAAGCGUACACGUAAUGUCAGUCCGGGCCACUUCAUCCAACAAUACCGCCGAACCAAAGUGUGACAUGCUGGUAAGCAGUAUGACUUAUAUCGCCCACAACUCACUUGUGUUCUACUCGUGCAUAUAACAUCUACGCAUAAAACCAGGCUCGGAAGCCAAUGUUGGCGAACGUAGUAAUUUCAAAAAUAUUCCUACGUACACGCAAGAUCAUGGUGAUGCAUAGCAACAAGAGGGGAGAGUGUUGUCCACGUACCCUCGUAGACUGACAGCCGAAGCGUUAGCACAACGUGGUUGAUGUAGUCGUACGUCUUCACGAUCCGACCAAUCCAAGUACCGAACGUACGACACCUUCGAGUUCAGCACACAUUUAGCUCGAUGACGUCCCACAAACUCCGAUCUAGCAGAGCUUUGCGGGAGAGUUCCUUAGCACGACGGCGUGAUGACGGUGUUGAUGAUGCUACUGACGCAGGGCUUCGCCUAAGCACCGCUACGAUAUUACCGAGGUGGAAUAUGGUGGAGGGGGGCACCGCACACAGCUAAGAGAUCAAUGAUCAAUUGUUGUGUCUAGAGGUGCCCCCCUGCCCCCGUAUAUAAAGGAGCAAGGGGGAGGCCGGCCAGCCUUGGGGCGCACCAAGGAGGGGAGGAUUCCUCCUCCUAGUAGGAGUAGGACUCCCCUCUUUCCUAGUCCAAUUAGGAAAAGGAAGGGGGGAGGAAGGAGAGGGAAAGGAGAAGGAAAGGGGGGGCCCCCUCCCUAGUCCAAUUCGGACCCCCUAUAGGGAGGGGGCGCAACUGCCCCUUGUGGGCUGCCUUCCCUCUUCCCUAUGGCCCAUGUAGGCCCAAUAGUCCCCCCGGGGUUUCCGAUAACCCCCGGGCACUCCGAUAAAUAUCCGAAUCACUCGGAACCUUUCCGAUGUCCGAAUAUAGUCGUCCAAUAUAUCGAUCUUUACGUCUCGACCAUUUUGAGACUCCUCGUCAUGUCCCCGAUCUCAUCCGGGACACCGAACUACCUUUGCUACAUCAAAACACAUAAACUCAUAAUAUAACCGUCAUCGAACUUUAAGCGUGCGGACCCUACGGGUUCGAGAACUAUGUAGACAUGACGGAGACACGUUUCCGGUCAAUAACCACUAGCGGAACCUGGAUGCUCAUAUUGGCUCCCACGUAUUCUAUGAAGAUCUCUAUCGGUCAAACCGCAUAACAACAUACGUUGUUCCCUUUGUCAUCGGUAUGUUACUUGCCCGAGAUUCGAUCGUCGGUAUCUCAAUACCUAGUUCAAUCUCGUUACCGGCAAGUCUCUUUACUCGUUAUGUAAUGCAUCAUCCCGCAACUAACUCAUUAGUCACAUUGCUUGCAAGGCUUAUAGUGAUGUGCAUUACCGAGAGGGCCCAGAGAUACCUCUCCGAUAAUCGGAGUGACAAAUCCUAAUCUCGAAAUACGCCAACUCAACAUGUACCUUCGGAGACACCUGGAGCUCCUUUAUAAUCACCCAGUUACGGUGUGACGUUUGGUAGCACACAAAGUGUUCCUCCGGUAAACGGGAGUUGCAUAACCUCAUAGUCAUAGGAACAUGUAUAAGUCAUGAAGAAAGCAAUAGCAACAUACUAAACUAUGAUGUGCUAAGCUAACGGAAUGGGUCAAGUCAAUCACAUCAUUCUCUAUUGAUGUGAUCCCGUUAAUCAAAUGACAACUCAUGUCUAUGGUUAGAAAACUUAACCAUCUUUGAUUAAUGAUUUAGUCAAGUAGAGGCAUACUAGUGACACUAUGUUUGUCUAUGUAUUCACACAUGUACUAAGUUUCCGGUUAAUACAAUUCUAGCAUGAAUAAUAAAUAUUUAUUAUGAAAUAAGGAAAUAAAUAAUAACUUUAUUAUUGCCUCUAGGGCAUAUUUCCUUCAAUACAAGUUUGCCUUCGAAUUGUAUACCCCUUUACAACUUUCAUCUGCAUGAUUCAUAAUAUAUGUUUCUCUAAAAUUUGUACUUUUUUUAUGAUAGAGUCUCCAACAAUGCAUCUUCUUUUGACGUUACAUUGGUGCGGCACCUAAUUAUAGAUUAUUUGCAGCUAAUACUUGUUCUCGCCUUCUGAUUAUUUAUUCACACCAUGUUUUAAGAGACAUUAUGCAACUCCAUAGAUGACAAUAAGCUUGUCAUGAAUGGAAGUGGAGCUAAAGAUGUAUCGCAGCAGGUUGUCACUGCCCUUGAAUGCUGGAAGGUUAGUGUUGUAUGAAAAGGAGAACUAAUUAGAGAAGAAGUAUAUUUUUCAAGGAAUUUGUUUUUUUAAUCUUGUUUCUCCAUUGAUUCCGAGUUUUGAACUUCAUAGCUUGGUCUGGGUUAUGGUGUUCAGCUUUUCGGUGGGUUUUGUCGAUCAACUUAAAUUCUGUGCUUGUUGGCCCGUCCUUUUGGCAUCACCUCUUGGUCAUUUGGUGAAUCUAUAUAUAUGUUUGUAGGAGAGCAAGUGUCUGUGACGAAUACGGGUAGUUGAAUAAGGCGUUCAGCAGGUUGGAGGGUUCUUAUUUUUUUAUAGAGAUCAAGAAUAUUGUUCAUGUUAAAUUUCAGAGGUGCUGCUACAAGUACACUAAUAAAUGUAUAUUGUUCAAGUUACAUGCAAAAUAUAGUAGUAUGCCUCCAUUCCAAAUUAUAAGAUGUUUUGGCAGGCUAAAAUUUGGAUCACAGGAAGUAUUAGUGUAAUAAUUGAGGUUGAUGCUAGGUCCAAGCCAUCUUCCGAUAUGCGGGGGAGAGACUAGAGGAGUGGAGGUAGUAAGAUUAGAGACGUAGGUUGCAGGUGGGUUGCUCAAUGUAGACCUAUGUUGCAGUAGAAGUGUGAUAAAAUUUCGUAUGAUCGAUUUUUGGUCGCAUGUUGUCGCAUGUUCGGUUUUGAGUAGGUUCUCCCUCUUACGACCACAAACCAAUUACAAGAGUAAAUGUGGGCCAAUGAAUGAAUGGGAGACAACGCCACGCCCAACUUGCUUGUGUCGUCUGAUGUAGAUAUUACAUGUAAGUGUCGCACUUGUCUGAUGUAGAUAUUGCAUGUGAGUGUCGCAGUUGAACGUGUUCGGUUGUGCGAAUGAAGAGAUGCUAACUAUCAAGAAUAAAUUAAGCUAGAGGGAUAAUAUAUAUUUAGUUAUAUAGACGAAAAAAAUCACACCACAAAGAUACUUAAAUUAUAAUAGAAAAUUUAUCGGUAUGCGUGUAUAUAUAUUUUCAACAUUCCGCGGCAUAAAAAAAGCUAGGAAGGGAAGGCAUCAUAACGGAUUCAUUGGACAUCGCCCAUUAUAGCAUAGGUUCUUGAGAGGCAUUUGCUGCCUUCUGCCCGUAGGAAGGCACGGACAGUGUCCUAGUAAAAGUAAAACUCGGGCGCGCGGCUUGAGCUCCUCGGUCUCCUCUGCCCGUAGGAAGGCACAGACAGUGUCCUAGUAAAAGUAAAACUCGGGCGCGCGGCUUGAGCUCCUCGGUCUCCUCCACGAAUUCGUCACACCUGACGAGCGACCGGCAAGACAAAUGGGAAGAGACCAGCUUCUAUUCCGACCACAAACAGCAUUUAUUCCCACUAAAAUCAGCGCGAUUGUAACGUUUAGCGCUUAAAUCGACUUGAAAUUGUUUCAAGUGUAUGGUCUAUGAUUCGCACGGCCAUUCAAAAAUUAGCAGAGAAUGUAGUACUACUAAUGGAUUUACUCAGUUGCUGAUGGAAUACAGACUGAUGAGCAAACUGGGCUCAAAACACAGACGCGAGAGACUCAAAACACUGGCUGCAACAUCGGACCAUCCGCACACAACACUAGAGCACAAGACACACCGCGCACGCACAGACGGCCGGACUCUGGUUUUAUUUCAUCACGACGACCGGGGCGAAACUCCACACCUCUGCUCUGCAGUCCACCUCACCGCGCAGCGAGCACGCAGACGCCUAG